UUUUUUUUUGUAUGGAGAAAUUCUACUUAGAACCCCUCAAUAUACCUCCUAUGAUCUCCACCAAAAGCUAGUCAUUGGGGCUUUGCUUUAUACGAAUUGAUUUUCUUGAAAAAGAAAGAACCUUAAUUUGGUGCUACUGACAAAUUCUAAAACAGAUGAAUUAACACUUUCAGUUUUCUCGUCCAAAGUCAACAAAUUUUGGACCUAUGCAGCCCUUCCUAAAAAAUUUAGCAAGUCUCUGUGUGAGUGUGUGGGGGGGGAGGCAUGAGGUAAAGAUAUAGUAUGCCACUUCUCAUCCCAUAUUGAAUAUGGAGGAUAAGAUCAACCAGUCUAUGAAGCCUAGUACUUGACCAAAAAAGGGGGGAUUUGACAUCACUAAUGAACAAUUUCUCAAGAACCUGAAGUAGAUGGCUGUUCUUAUGCAUCAUUUGAUUAGAAUAGAGAUACUCUCUCAUCUUUUGUCUCCAAAGCUUUAAGAACCCCAUGUUACCACCAGCCCACCAACCAACGAACAGACUUAACUUUUUCUUCAAUUUCUAUGUGUCUGUCUAGUGUCUGUGCCUAACUAAUCUUUUCAUGCUGGAAGAGGAUGACUUCUUAGCAAUCCCACUUUCCCACUUACUCCAAGUUUUUUUAGGGGUAGGGGGACUUACACGUAAUACCCAAAUACUAUCUAUCACUCUGCUGGGAUUACUGUUUUGUGUAUUGUACAUUUUCGAAACAUACAAAAAUUUUGAUGCAAUAUAUACCUUAUCAGCCAAAAAGGCCCCAAAACCAGCCUUUUGCUUGAAAUAAUAACCUAAAAAAAAACUUCAGAUUCAAAACUGCACAAGAUUAGAAGCAUCAAGCAUCGACAUCAUCCAGUAAUAAUAAGUACUAGAUAGCCAUCUCUGCUGAUUGAAAGAAUUUGAGACUCAGAAUUUUUCAAAUUUAGCAGUAGCAAGCAUCAAUACCUGCUGAUUACACUAAAAAAUAAUAGUAGCUAGCAUUAUAUCACUACAGAUGUUUUCCAACGUAACUAAUUAGUUUUACAAACCAGUAAAUGUCUCCAAAUAAAAGCUGCAAACACAGGUCGAAACAGGGAUACCCCAAUCUACAAAUAUCAAAUGUACACCUUGCAAAUAAAAGUAGCCAAAAGAAGCAGAGAAUUCUGUUGUAUCAAAUCUUCUAGCAGCUGCUCUCUCUCCUCUUCUUGAUGCUGCACCAAGUGAAACCCUGCAGAACAUUGAUGAAGCUUUGUUUAACGAUUCAACAACUUGAAAAGUAAGUCAACUGUGAGACGGAAAAUAGAAAGCAAGGCAAGAAGAUCACACGAUUGCGAAACAAUAAUCACGUCCAGAGGUCAACAGCAACUUCAUCCUCCACGUCCAAAUUAGGCUCCUUGGCAUUCAUAAUCUUGGAUACCAUCAAAUCAUCGAAUCCCAUAUCAGUCCUCGAGUGUUGCUUCAACAGUUGUUGCUCCGACUCAUCCUCGCUAACUGAAUCAUCUCCCAUGAACUUCUUCCAUAGUUUCUGAUCAGCAGUUUUUUUUGAUUCUGCCAUUGAAGUGUUUGCCUCCUGAUCAUCUUGGUCCAUGCCACAAGCUUCAUCAUCCGUGGACUUUGUUGUGGUUUUAGAGCUUUGUGGUAGAAUCACUCUUCUUCUUUUCAUGGUCUGAAGGAUUUCAAGUUCUGGUUCUUCCUCCACACACUAAAUUAUCUUCUCAACUAAGGCGGGGCUGAAUAUUCUGGCUAAGACCUUGAUCAAUGCUUUUGACUUAGCCUCCAUUCUUUUCAUAUUUUUCUUGAAGGUGGCUAUGCUACUCUCAAGUUUCCCCAUAUUAUAUUUUGAUCUUGUGAUGUCUUUCUUCAGUGUAUUCAUGUGAUCCUCAAAAAUUUCCAGCUCUGCCUCCAUUGAAGGCCUUGCAGCCGUUACGUGUUGUUCCCUCGAUCCUCGUCUUUUCCUGGUUGUUGGACCUUCAUCAUUUCGCCUUCUAAUGUUCAUUAGCAAAUGUUCCUGCCUUCUCUGAAACCAUUUAUUCUCGUAUUCAUAUUGCCUCAGUCCAAUCUUCCUGAAUCCCUAUUAAGUUUAGAAAGCAAACAAUCAGAAAUUAGUGGGGGAGGAUCCCAAUUGCUGUUGAAUUCGAGUCUCAACGAGGAAUUUAUUUGACAUUCAAACUGCAAACACAAAGCAUGAGCAAAAGUAGUAAGCAUAAGUACAGGAAAAAGGCAUUUACCUAGGUUCAUGAGUUGUGAUAGACAUAACAAAUUCUUGCAGAGACUUUCUAAUGAUGAUAAAAAAAUUAUCUAAAGAAUACGAUAUCCAUGCUAUAAAAAAGGAUUUACUCUAAAAGGUAUGUACUAAUCUAAAAUGCAUAAAAUCACAUAGUUGUUGAGUUGGUAGAUGAAGCUUGAGAAAUUGUUGUGCUUGAAAUAUUUUGGUAGAACCUCUGCAGCAAAUUUGAGAUGGUCCAGGACUAUUAGGCUGGUACCUUCAGAAUUCCAAGAAAUCAUGUUGUUUGUCUCUGUAUCCUCCACCAUUUGAAAGGUCUUCGUCAAGAAGGGGGGCGGAGUGAAACCACGCACUCCCUUCAUGAAUUCCAUCUUCUCUGAGGCCUGCUUGGAGGGUAGCGAAGAUGGCCUAACAAUCCCACCAUUUCCGGCUAUUCCUCCACCACGUACUUCCAUUGUAUCUUGACGAGUUGUUUUGCAUUCCAUGAGGUAGUAGUCAAGACCGUUUUAAGUUUAAAGAUGUUUAGAUGGGCUAAACAAACUGCCCCUACAUGCAGUGGCUGUUCUUAAGUAAAAUUCCAUCAAAAAGGUUAGUCCUUCUCUGGUGAAAUCAUGACUUUCAAUCCACUAUCUUUCAAUUACCAACCUUAGCAAGAACGAGUCUAAUACUGUUCUAUUACUGCCUUAUUCACCAAGAAUAUAUUCCUCUUGCAACUUAUUUCGUAAACAAAGCACAAUCUGAUUUUUAUCUCCAUAUUUGAGUGGCCUUGAUUGUUCACCUAAGAAUCAAAGUAGGGGGAGGACAACAUCAUUUUUAAAGCAUGUUUCUGGUGUCCUUGUACUUCGAAAUGAGUUGUUAAUAGAAGCUGCAUUAGUGUACUCUAGACUUAUAUAGAUCAGCAAUCUACCUCGUCUACUUUGCUUUCCUUUCCAAGUAUCAUUCGAAAACAGGCGACUAGGAUGUAGCUAAGUUUUGUGCCAUAACCAGCCUUGUUCCUUAACGUGUCAUGUAAAUUAACUUUGAUGUAAUUACAAGAUUGAAGCAUUUUGGAAUCUGAGGGGAAACAAAUUGAAGAAAAGAAAGGAGACAUAUGGUAUGAAAUUUGAUCCAUCUAAUCAUUAUUUAGUUUUAAGGAUGAAUUGGUUGUCUUUUUCAUAAUCCAAGGCACAUCGAUAUACAAUUAAGACAAGGAGGAAGGAUGAUAAGUGAAACUCCUGUUAUUUGUUUUGGCAAAUGAGUACAACUUCUGUUAGUGUGACAGAAAAAACUGCGGAAGAUUAACAACCAUUUCUGUAUAGGAAAAGAGAUAAAAUCAUUUAUCCAUUUACAGUGAUUACCUCCAUUCCUAAUUGAUAAUGAGAGAUAAUCACAGUUAACUUGAGAAUUUGGCCCAUUUCCCAGAAAAUCUUGUUUCAGAAUGUUUACUGCAGUAGGGAAUAAACCUUGCAUUUGGAACAUUUCCUUGUUUGUCAAAUGGGAGCUUUUACAAUAGCAGUAAAGCAACAGAUAGAAACAUGAGGAUUUCUCAAUUCAAAACAACUUAGUUCCUCCAAAGAGAAUAAGUGAUAAUUACAGUGCAAUACCUCUUUCCGCAUAGGACAAGUGCAAGCUUAGUAGCUUUAACACUUGAAGUAAAGUUCUGGUUUCAUUUACUGGUGUUAUUGUGGUGAAAAAUAAAACCCAGACCAGAUUGUAAACAGACUAAUGGAAGCAAAUUUGUUCCAAAUAAAAGGCACUCUGAAACCAUGUUUAGAGGUCGUUGCUGAGUUCAAACCUUUGCAGUAGCAAGGCAUCCAAACAAACUAGAAAGAAAUGUAGUUCAAUUGAUCAAGACAUCUUUUACCUUUAAAACACAUUGAAGUAAUAUAAGUCUCAAGAAGUCUGACAAAGUCAGUAGUGAAUGAGUUGAAAUAGUCUGAUGGACAAAGAAAAAAAGAAAAAGAAAGAUAGAAUAAAAGUUGGACAUCAUCUGAUAUUCAUAGAGGGAAUUGCUCCUGAACUGGUUUUGCAAGAGAUAUGGCAAUCCCGUGAAACACCAUGAUGAGGUACCUGACAUAGAAUAGCUGAUAAAUGUGAUUAAGAGAAACUGAUAUCUCAAUUGUGCAAAAGAAAUUACAAGUCCAGGUAAUACCAGUAAAAUCAACUCUUGAACUCCUAACUCUUGGCUUUGUUACCUAUCCCUUUAGCAAACUCAUUCCAAUCUGCCGGUCCUUCAAUCAAAUCCUCCAAAGGGAUGACAUCAUUUUGCUGAAGAUUUUCUCUUUCUUCUUCAGGCACAUUCUCACAGCUUAUAUCAUCCAUUAGCUGCUUCUCUAGCGAUGAGUAUACUGCUGUAUAGAAAUCAGAAAAUUUUCCCAUGGAAACAGUACAAUCCUCCUCCUCCUGAACAGCAGUGCUCAAGUCAACAUUUGAAAAUGUCUUUCCCGUACCUGAUUGUGCCCUAGGAGAGUUUUUCCGGCUUCCAUGAGAUGUUCCGCCUUCUUCUAGGAGCUCUACUGAGCUCUCAAUGCUUUGUCGUCCACCUGAUCCUUGAUCAUUUGCAGCAUCAUUGCUCUGCAGCUCUUUUUUUCUUAUCAGAACUUCAUGGAUCAUAUACUUCAGCAUAUUUUGUCGCUUGGAUGUAAUACAUUGGGCUUGUUUCUCAAGGAUUUCUGUUUCUUUCACUAAAUUUGCUUCCAUGUCUUUCAGCUUCAUCGUUUCCACCUUCAACGCAUCAUGUUCUUGCAUUAGACUUUCAAAUUUCUUUUGCUCUCCAGACAAACUCAAUUGUCUUUCAGUUUCUAAUGGCUUACGUAGAUGUGCUAUUUGAGUUCCUUGAAUUCUUCUCUUAAUUUUCUUUAGCCAACUCUUCUUCCCUUUUUGAAACCACGCAUUCUGGAAUUCCAAUCUAUCCCAAUUGAUCUUUAUGAACCCCUAAAAUCUCAUAACAGCACAAAUCAGUUAUGUCUCAAUCUUUUCUAAUGUCAAAAUUCUAGUUAUUCAUCCCAUGUCAGUAAAGGAAAAACAGAUUGACAAAGAAAGAACUAUUAUAUCAGAUCACGCGGCAAGAGCAAAGAGGAGAUUUUAGAAGAUAUGCAGAAUAUGAUAACUCACAUACAUCUAUACUAAUACUGGUAGGCAAGUUCAUUUGGUAUUCAAGUUUUCUUGCUUUGAUUUGCAACUUAUGUACUACAGUGCACAUAAGAAGAGUGAGAACUCUUAAUAUAACAGUAAAAAGUGCCACUUCAAAAGGAAACAAUUCGCAAAAGUCACAUACACUAGGCAAAACAUUAUUAAAAUAAUUAAAGAAGUCUACAUGAAGAUGGGAAAACAGGAGACAAAGCAAGUGGUAUGAUUGAAGGAUACUCACGUAUGUGUUGAGUUGGCAAAUGAAGCUCGAAAAGUUGUUGUGCCUGAAGUAUUUUCCAAGAACCUCAGCAGCAAACCUGUGAGGAUCCCACACAACGAAGCUGGUGCCACUGGAACUCCAGGAUAUAAUGGAAUCUGUCUCAGGGUUCUUCACUAUGUCAUAAACCUUGAGCAAGAAGGGAGGUGGGGCUCUCACCCGUGAGGAUGCACCAUUAGCAUAACCUUCUUUCGCAAGGGGAGUUGCAGAAAUUGCAGCAGCAGCUGUAACAAUAGCAUUGCUACUGCUUUCACUAACAUCAGCUCCCAUUGGUAUUGUUAGAUUCACUCUCUCUCCCUCGUUCUCACCGUUUUUCAGCUCAUAUUUGGUAGAGUUUGUUACCUCACCUGUCUCCUGGUUUGUUGCUUCCAUAAUUGGCAAGCAGAUUUCUUUGUUCUUUUGGGAAAAAAAAAUUACAAAUAUCUUUUGAUAAUAAAAACUGUAGCAACUUGGCAACUUGACAUUUGCUAAUGGUAGCCAACCCAAUUCUCCAGGAUGAACCUCUGAAACAAAGCUUUUGUUUUGAAUGCCAAACAUGCACUAGUUAUUAUAUCAUUUUCUCAUCCCCAAUUCUAUGUGAAAUGUUUUGAUGCAUCAGAAGACUGUAACUCACCUCAUAUUCCUUGUACACCACACAACCUUCACUUGUUACUCUAUCUUGGUAAAGAAGCAGUACUAUCUGUCCUUCAUAUUCCAUUUUUGAUCGUGAUAUUCCAAAUGUACAUGGAUAAUCAGUCUGCUAUUUGGUUGUGAAAGCUACACUUUGUUCAAUGAUUAUAUAUUAAAGCAGCUCUAUUUCUUCCGUGAUCUAAACCGCUGAAAAGUUCUAACUUUGAAUUUAUUACUUUAUUUGAAUUACGUUUCUAUUUCAAUUUGGCUAAUUCAUGCAUUUAUGUUUAUCUAUUUUAUUAAACUUUUACUAAAAUCGUUGGUAAGACUUGAUGCCUUGUAAGACCGUUGGUAAGUCCAGGUUAGGAUGUUCCAGGCAUAGUGCUCGGUUGUUCCAGUUUAAGUAAAAAUUUAAUUAAAUAUAAAACAUGGCUGCAUUUCUUAGACAGUUUAAAAUAGGAUCUAAUUCAAAGCAAGCUAAUAUAGUACAAAGUCAUGAAUAUCAUAUGCCUAUAAAUAAUUCAGAUUGGACUAUUCCAGAAGAAAAAAUAUAACAUAUUUAUAGAAUAGGCCCUUUAGAUUUCAAAACAGCUUUAUCAGUUAAAACACAUGAAGAAACAAUAUCUAUUCAAGAAGAAUAUCAAUCAAUACCAUUACUAAAUAAUAGUACAAUUCAAAAAUAUUUAAGUAAAGGAUAUCGAUAUAUUCAUAUAGGUUUAAUACAAAUUUCUGUAAAACCUUUAUUCCAUCUAGGAGUAGAUGCUCCAAUAUAUUUAGCAUUAAGAGAUACAAGACUCAAAAGAUAUAAAACUUCUUUACUCUCUAUGAUUCAAACAAAUGUUUGUAAUGGACCCAUAUAUUUUAACUGUGCUCCAAAUUUUUCAAUAGACUUAACAGACCCACAUAUUCUUAAUUCAGUAAUACUAGAUAUACAUUUACAAGGAAAUAAAUUUGAAAAACAUACAAAGAAUUUUGCAAUAAUAUAUAGAAUAUAUUAUAGACCUUUAUCUUCACAUCUAAAUCCAAAAUUUAUAAUGACUCCCACUCUUAAAGAAGAAACAACUUUAUUACAAGUAGACGCAGAUAGACCUACAACCUAUACUCCAAAAAGAUUAAAAUGGAAUGAGAUAACUAUACCUAGUGAAUUUGAAAUAAAAAAUCCACAAAUAGCAAGAAAUAUAGAACAAACUACUGCAGAAGAUAUUAUAGAAAAACCUGAUGGAAAUACUUUAAUAAGAUUUGCUUCAUUAAGAGAAAGACCUAGUUCAAGUUAUUCAUGGUUACCAGCUAGACAUUCAAAUUAUGAAUCUACUGAAAUUAAUUUUCCCUUAGAAAGUACCUCAAAUUUUAAAUAUAAAACUCCUAUUCCAGAAGUUAUAAAUCAGACUCAAUCAGAAUAUUCUCCAACCCAGUCACAAAUGAGAGGAGAAAUAAAUGUAAUAAAUAAACCAUAUAUAAUAAAUCAUAAAUAUUUGCAAGAAGAUUUUGAAGAUGAGGAAAAUACAGAAAAAAGAAUUUGGUUCUUUCAAUUAGAAUCUGAAUAUAAGAACAAAUUAAUUAUAGAAUGGAAAAAUGAAUUAGAUAAGAAAAAAUUUGAUUUUCCUUUCUUUACAUGGCUAACAUUUUAUAUGUCAAAAUUAGGAAUAAAUGAUAUAUAUAAUACAUCUCAAAUAAAUGUCCAAACUAAUUUAUAUAAAAAAUGGAAAUUAAAAGACGAACAAAUAAUAACAUCCAUACAUCCUCCAUUACAAGAAGUAAAAAUAAAUAUAGGACAAGGAGAAGUAAUUGUUUCACCUUUUAAAAAGGGAAGAGAAGCUGAAUCAAGUACAAAUAAUAAUUCAGUAAAUUUAGAAGAUAUUAAAAAAAUUUAUCAACAGAAUAAUUAUACAAAUCAAAUCUUACAUACAAUAUCUCAGCAUAUGGAAGUAUUAAAUACAAAAAUAGAUACAUUAAAGAAACCAGAUUUAAAAUUCCCCAAUGAUAUUUCAGCACCUCAUUUCCAACCUAGAAGUUUGACAAGAGAAAAGGAAAAAGAUUUAAUACAAAAUAUCAAUAAUCAGAAAAUAAAUAAUACAGACAAUUUAUUAAAUAAAAUAUCACAUGCAUUACAAAAUAUUAUGGAAAUAAAACCUUCAACACCCAAAAUAAAUACUUUAGACAAAAUUAUAAAAGAAAAUUCAACUGAAGAAUCCGAAAACUCAGAAGAAGAAUCAAUAAGUUCAGAUCUAGGAGAAAAUUUAGUAUUACCUAUAGAAAACCAAUUUGAAGAACAAGAUGAUCAAAUAAAUAGAAUAAGAAGAAAAAGAAUUUAUAACAAUAAUAACAAAGAUUGGAAAAUGGUAAGUUCAAAAAAUUAUUAUCCAAGACCAAGUCCUCCAGAUAUUCAAUAUGAAGAAAGAUCUAAAUUUCGUACCACAAAAUAUGAUGGAGAUUCAAUUUAUGAAUGGAAUAUAGAUGGCAAAGCUGAAUAUGAAGUGUUAAAUAACUUACAAGAAAUGGGAAUGGCCAGACUAGCUUAUAAAAUCAAAAAUAUUCAAGAAAGAAAUAUUGCAACAUUAUUAGUCUCAAGAUUCACUGGACAAUUAAAAAAUUGGUGGGAUAAUGCCUUAACAUUACAAGAUAAAUUAUCAAUAUUAGAACAUACCCAAGAAACUGAAGAUGAUCAAGGAAAUAUUCAGAUACAAUCAGAUGCUGCAGAAUUUUUAAUAGUAACAAUAGUAAUGUAUUUCAUAGGGAAUCCAAAAGAAGAAUUAAAUUGUAAUAAAACAUUUUUAACAAAUUUAAGAUGUCCUACAUUAUCAGACUUUAGAUGGUAUAAAGAUAUGUUUUUAACAAAUGUAUUACGAAGACCAGAUUGUAAUGCUUCAUUCUGGAAAGAAAGAUUCAUAACAGGAUUACCAAGUUUAUUUUCACAAAGAAUAAUGGAUAGUUUACAAAAAAAAAUGGGAACAGAUGUAAUUUCAUUUGAAAAUAUUACUUUUGGACAAUUAUUUGCAUUUGUCAAAAAAGAAGGAUUAAUGUUAUGUUCAGAAUUAAGAUUACAAAUAAAAUAUGGUUCUAAAACAAAAGAAGUAGGAUCAUUUUGUGAUGCAUUUGGAAUAAAAAGAAUAAAAUCACCAUCAGCAUACAAAAAGAAAAUUAAAAAAUAUACUAAGAAAAUAAAAUAUAAAAGACCUAAAGAAGAUAAAUCAGAAAGAAAGAGAAAAUUUAUUAAAAGAAAAAUAGUUUGUUACAAAUGUGGAAAAAUAGGACAUAAAGCAAACAAAUGUAGAUUAAGGGAAAAAAUUACAGAAAUCUGUGUUAAUGAAGAAGAAAUUAAAAAUAAAUUAAUAAACCUAUUAAUAAAUGAAAAAGAUCAAAGUUCUGAAGACGAUUAUUAUGAUGAUAUACCUAGUUCAGAAAGUGAAGAAAAUUGUAAUUGUAUUCCAAAAUAUAUAAAUGUUAUAACUAAAAAAGAAGAUAAAGAAUUCUUAUUAGACAUAAUAGAAAAAAUUGAAGAUCCAGUAGCUAAGAAAGAAUAUUUAGAAAGAUUAAAAAGUCUAAUUAUUCAAGAAGACAAAAUGCCAAAGAUAAUAGAACCUUUUAGUAUUUCAAAAUUAAUAGAUAAAUAUCCAAAUAUAAAUAUAAUGAAAAAAGAAACAACUAAAGAUCUUCAAACAGAAAUCAAUAAUCUUAAAAUACAGAUAAAACAAUUACAACAAGAGAUUAUAGAAUUAAAAACAAAAGAUUUAGAAAUAGAAGCAAAAAUAACCUUAAUAAAUAAUCAACCAUCAACUUCUAAUUCCAAAACAGAAGAAAUAUGUAUAUCUGAAAAACCAGUAGAUGAAGAUCAAUAUUUAAAUACAAUAGAAAAAAUGACAUUUCAAAAAUGGUAUGCUUUAGUAACCAUUACUGUAGAAGAUUUCAAAGAAACACAUGUAGCUCUAAUAGAUAGUGGAGCUGAUUCAAGUUGUAUUAAAGAAGGAAUAAUUCCUACUAAAUAUUGUGAAAGAACAAAUGAAACAUUGAUGGCAGCAAAUGAAGAAAAUUUACAAGUAAAAUAUAAAUUUACAAAAGGAUCAAUAUGUAAUAAUGAAUAUUGUAUAAGACAUAAUUUUAUAAUCGUAAAAAAUAUAAAUCAUGAUAUCAUAUUAGGAACACCUUUUUUAAUUCAAAUUUACCCAUUUGCAGUAAACCAUGAAGGAAUUUCAAUAAAUAUAAUGGGAAAAACUAUUAUUUUUAAAUUCUUAACUCCAAUAAGACAAAGAGAAUUACAGAUAUUACAAACAUCUUCUAUUUAUAAAACGAUAAAUAGUAUUACUAAAGUACAACAACAAAUAAAUUAUAUAAAAGAAGAAAAAUCUUAUUUAAGAAUUGAAGAACAAUUAAAAGAAGAAAGAAUACAAAAAAUAAUUUUAGAAAUAGAAAAAUUAUUACAAAAGGAAAUAUGUGCUGAUAUUCCUAAUGCUUUUUGGGAUAGAAAACAACAUAUGGUAGAAUUACCCUAUGAAGCAGGAUUUGAUGAAAAAAAUAUUCCAACUAAAGCUAGACCAAUACAAAUGAAUUUUGAAUUAUUAGAAUUUUGUAAAAAAGAAAUAAAAGCUUUAAUAGAUAAGAAAUUAAUAACCCCUUCAAAAUCACCAUGGAGUUGUGCUGCUUUUUAUGUAAUGAAUCAAGCUGAAAAAGAAAGAGGAGUUCCAAGACUAGUAAUAAAUUAUAAACCAUUAAAUAAAGUAUUGCAAUGGAUUAGGUAUCCAAUUCCCAAUAAAAAAGAUUUGCUCAAUAGAUUAUUUAAAGCAAAGAUAUUUUCAAAAUUUGAUUUAAAAUCAGGAUACUGGCAAAUACUAAUAAUACCAAAAGAUAGAUAUAAAACAGCAUUCACAACACCCUUUGGACAUUAUGAAUGGAAUGUAAUGCCAUUUGGAUUAAAAAAUGCACCAUCAGAAUUUCAAAAUAUAAUGAAUGACAUUUUUAAUCCUUAUAGUUCCUUCAGUAUUGUUUAUAUAGAUGAUGUGUUAAUAUUUUCUGAAUCAUUAGAACAACAUUUUAAACAUUUGAAUAUAUUUUUAAAAACAGUCAAGAAAAAUGGAUUAGUAGUUUCUGCCCCAAAAAUGAAAUUAUUUCAAACAAAAAUAAGAUUUUUAGGACAUGAUAUAUAUCAAGGAACAAUAAAACCAAUCAAUAGAGCUUUAGAAUUUACUACUAAAUUUCCAGAUGAAAUAAAAGAUAAAAAUCAAUUACAAAGAUUUUUAGGAUGCUUAAAUUAUAUAGCAGAUUUCUUUCCCAAAUUAAGACAAGAAUGCUCUAUAUUAUUUAAUAGAUUAAAAAAGAAUCCAAAACCAUGGACAGAUGAACAUACUCAAAAAAUAAAAUAUCUAAAAGAAAAAAUUAAAUCAUUACCAUGUUUAUGUUUACCACAUCCUAAAGCAUUCAUGAUAGUUGAAACAGAUGCAUCAGAAUUAGGAUAUGGGGGGAUAUUAAAACAAAAAUUAGAAGAGUCAAAAGAAGAAUUAGUUAGAUUCCAUUCAGGAACAUGGUCAGAUCCUCAAAAGAAUUAUUCAACAAUUAAAAAAGAAAUUUUAUCAAUAGUCUUAUGUAUAUCAAAAUUUCAGGAUGAUUUAUACAAUAAGAAAUUUUUAAUCAGAAUAGAUUGUAAAUCUGCAAAAGAGAUUUUACAAAAAGAUGUUCAAAAUAUAGUUUCAAAACAAAUAUUUGCUAGAUGGCAAGCUAUUUUAUCUGUUUUUUAUUUUGAAAUAGAAUUCAUCAAAGGAGAAAAUAAUUCAUUACCAGAUUUUCUUACUAGAGAAUUUUUACAAGGACAUGGAUCAAGAAAUGAGGAAGCAAAGAACAGAUCGAGAAUAUACCAAUUAUUUGAGAGCUCAGAGAGAUUCUCCCAAACUUCAAAACAAAGAAAAGGCUAUCCAAUCCCGAGGAUAUCAAUAUUUUGUUCAAACUAGCCAGGGUAGGCAAAGUAUUCCAGCCUAUCAAAUUCCCAAACAUGAUACCAUAUACAUCCAAAAAAGCCCUUAUGCUACAAUUACCUCACAAGAAAGAGCUUUUCUUAUUCAAAGAGAGAUUCAGCGAAAUACUAUCCGCAUUCAAGUCCUGAGAAGAGUUGAAAGAAAUGAAGAAUUUAUUCAGUACUACAAAGAACAAAAUAAGCAAUUAUCUGACCAGCUUAAAGAUAUUGUUUAUUAAUAUUGCAGGAAUAUGGAUUCAAAAGCAGGGAAUUCCAGUCCAAAGACUCCUCAAGAUUAUGAGAUGAGUCUAACUCCUGUAACCCAAAAUAGAUUUCAAAUAUUACAGGACUUCCCAGCACUGACAUAUAGUCAAGCUGCCUGUACUCCUACUCCUUCUCAAAUAAAACCUUUACAACAAAUUCCAAAACCUUCAGAAAAAUCCAAUGAAAAUACCUAUUUUACCAAGCCAUUUACUCAACAUAUUACUCUAACCAGAUUUCAAGAAAUACCUCUAUACUCUACACUCAAUCAAAUUACCCAAAGAAUCUUUCCUCAGAAAUAUUUUUGGCAACCAGAUGAUCCCUCAAAAAAUUUGGAUUACUACGAAUUAAUUCUUACAGAUACUCAAUCUAUAGAAAUAUUUCCUAUUCCAGAUAGAAAAAAUCCAAAUAUAGUCAGCCAUUCAAAAUGUAUAAUAAAGAAAGUUUGUUCUCCCAAUGAAUGGACUUCUCUUUAUUCUAAAAAAUCCUUUUCAGUAAGAUUCAUUCCAGAUGGAUUUACAUAUCAAGAUUACAAAAUGGCAUGGUAUCGUGCUUUCCUUUUUAGACCAUUCAAUCAUUCCUGGUUCUUCAUAUUUAAAGAAAGUUGCAGUAGAGAAUUUCCAAUUUGGUUCAAUCAUUGGUGGAAAUGGUUUGGACCUCAACCAGAAAUUCUACCUCCAAACGUGCUCAUGGGAUUUCAGACAUACCUAAAAAGAGCAAAGGGGGAAGAAUAUACAAGACCAAUUUUAUUUCAUAUGGAGUUCAAAGUUCCAUGGAUCUUUUGCUGGAGUUUCAAAAUUCAUCAAGAGUUAGAAAAAUCACUUCCAAUGUCAUUGGUCAGAGAAUUCAAAAUUAAAUGGUGGACAGGAUUCAAUCAAGAAUUUGGAGAUCAAGUUAACGUCAUCAGAUUUCUAACCACAGGAGACAAACUCAAAUGGACAAAACAGCUACCUACUCCAACUACUACAAUACCUACUACAACAACUUCUCCACCAACUCCAACCACUAUGACACCAACUCCAACCACUACUCCAAUAAAGAAAGAAAAAGAUACCGAGAUGGUAUCCGAGGCAAGUUCAAAUGACUUUCUGAUGAAAAAGAUGAUUCAAGAUCCAAGACUACUCAAAGAAUAUUUGGACUAUUUGCAAAAGCAGGAUAAGAAAGAAGAAACCAACAAAAUUGACGAGUCAGCAGAAUCAUCCGAAUCUACUUUCGAUCCUUUCGGAGGACCAUGCGGACAAGAUCCAAAUGACUUUUGAAAAAGAUGUCGGCCACAAAUAAAGUGUCGACCCAAAAGACAAAUGAAAUUCAAAUGAAGAUGAAAUGAGAACUCCCGAGCCUCUAUAAAUAGAAUCAAAAUUCAGAAGAAAGGCAUCAGCGAAAUCAUCGACCAUAGAUCAGUUAAAAUCUCCCUACUUUGUAAUCAUCCUUUUCAAGUUCAACCACUCCUUUGUAUUCAAUCAUCUCUACUUUUUAUAUUCAAUAAAGAAGAUUCAAGGUUUUGCAUCUAUCAAGCUUCCGUUGUCUACUCUCACUCAAUAUUCUUGUAAGUCCAUUUAUAUUAAAACUAUUACUUUUCUAUGCAAUCAAUAAUAGAAAGCAGCCACUAACAUCAGCUCCCAUUGGUAUUGUUGGAUUCACUCUCUCUCCCUCGUUCUCACCGUUUUUCAGCUCAUAUUUGGUAGAGUUUGUUACCUCACCUGUCUCCUGGUUUGUUGCUUCCAUAAUUGGCAAGCAGAUUUCUUUGUUCUUUUGGGAAAAAAAAAUUACAAAUAUCUUUUGAUAAUAAAAACUGUAGCAACUUGGAAACUUGACAUUUGCUAAUGGUAGCCAACCCAAUUCUCCAGGAUGAACCUCUGAAACAAAGCUUUUGUUUUGAAUGCCAAACAUGCACUAGUUAUUAUAUCAUUUUCUCAUCCCCAAUUCUAUGUGAAAUGUUUUGAUGCAUCAGAAGACUGUAACUCACCUCAUAUUCCUUGUACACCACACAACCUUCACUUGUUACUCUAUCUUGGUAAAGAAGCAGUACUAUCUGUCCUUCAUAUUCUGUUUUUGAUCGUGAUAUUCCAAAUGUACAUGGAUAAUCAGUCUGCUAUUUGGUUGUGAAAGCUACACUUUGUUCAAUGAUUAUAUAUUAAAGCAGCUCUAUUUCUUCCGUGAUCUAAACCGCUGAAAAGUUCUAAAAUAGGUACACAGAAUUUUGCUUUUUUUAUAAUUAUUUAUUUAUGAAGUAUUAUUAUUAUUAUUAUUAUUCUUUUUCUUUUAGUGGGGAUGGGGGGAGGGGUGAUAGAUUGUAUAUUUAUUUAGUGCUAUUGCGUGUAACCCAAGAGGACAAUAUGAUUAACCGAAUUGAAUUGAACAUUUCUGUUGGUGAACUUAAUGCUUAAUAGCCGCAGUAUCCCAUUCUUUAACAAUAGAUACUAAUACCUUGCGGGGGAGAAAUGUUUCUAGAGUAGAUGACAUUCCCAUCCAAUUGUUGCAAUUUCAACAAAUUUAUAGACGAACGGAUGUCUUGACUUUUAACAACCUUCACCUUCACGAAACUGAGGCUAACUUACGAGAGAUGACUCGUUCAAUUUUGCCCCAGUCCAUAAUCGCAGCCUUCUCUUAUCUUUAUUGUUUAUGGUCAUUUGAAUUCUCCUGCAUAGGCAGGUAAUCUCAACAUGUAUCUACAAGUCUCUUAAAAGUAAAAAAAAAAAAAAAAGAGAGAGAGGACCCGGACUUGGAAAAGCAACGCAUCAUGUACGCAUCGAGUACAAUAAGCAAGCAAAAGCAUGAAACCAAUUAAACAGAAACAAGAACGCCGCUUAGUCAAUAUAUCUCUUGGUAAAAACACCUGCUUUGUUGCCUUUUGGUUCCUCCGCUGCUUUUGUAACAAACCAAGGAGAUUAUGUACCCCUAUAAACCAACAUUUAGAUUUAAUACCACUAAACUAGCUGCAAAAUUGUGAUCUCUAAUGCCUUUGUUCCAAAACAAUUGACACCAAGUUGCUCAAGACAAUUGGGAGAAAAUUUUGAGAUAGAUUAAUAGCAAAAUUUCCGGGUUGGGGCAACAAAAUCCCUUGUGAAAAUAUGAAGAUGUUCUAAAGAAACAUGUUGCUUUUGCAAAUUGAUACAUAUUUUGCAUCCCUAUAUAUAGACAUGUCAAUAGACAAGGUUUGAGUUGCAUCCCUUUGAUCCAGUUCUAAACCAAUUAAAUUUUGUUAGGUCCAGACCCAAAUCCAAACCCUUAUUGGUUUGAAAAAGUAAAUCUAGACCUGGAUCCUCAUAGGUUUUGGUAUUCGUGGAUAUUUUUCUGAACAUACACUGAAGAACUAAAGUAAAAAUAUUUUGAAAAUAUAUAGAGUUAAAAAAUAACAUAAAUGUCAUCCAAUUUUUAUUUUCAAAAAAUAAAAUUAGCAUUCAAGAUGUUGAAUUUAAUAUUAUAAACUCAAAGAAAGAACUAUUAUCAACUAAAACUAUUUAUUUUCAAAGAUUCAUCUACAUCUACAUUCAAUCUUUCAUUUACUUGUUUUUAUUUUUUCUCUUUUUCUUGAAAACAUUUGUAUUAGUAACUAUGACAUACAAUAUUAGGUUAAUUUAUAAAUUUACUUUAUAUAUAUUUUUUAUAAGUGGGUCUGGGUAGUGUCUUGUUUGGAUUUGGAUUUGGAUUUGUGUUUGGAUCAUCCAAAACCAAACCCUACCCAAAUCCAUGACUCUCUUACAGGGAUUGGGUUUAGGUAGGAUCUAGAAUUGAUGAAUUAAAUUCAAACUCUUUCCAAAUAUAUUAGGUUUGAAUUGAAUUUGGAUAAAAUCCAACCCAUUGACAUGCCUACCUAUAUAUGUUACUACAUAAGCCCUGGUUGGGGCAAUAUCAUUUAGCAGAUAGAAAUUGAAAUUCAAUGCAAUCAAUGUUGGGACUAAAAACUUUUGGCAAUACUAUUUAGUAAUUAAAAUGUGAAAUACAAUGAUAAUCAAUUUUAAGACUAGAUUGUCUUGGCAAGAUUUGUAUGUAAGUAAUUACAGCGUCAAACUAGUCAAUCAAUAACUCUUGUAUUUAUGUAAGUACGUUGGGCAUUAAAUAUAAAUUACGUUCUUAUUUACUAAUAUACCCAUGCAUGCAUCACUUUCAUUUUCUUUCUUAAAGACGGACACUAUGAUUGAAGCCCAAGAAUGGUUUGUUAUGGUCGAUGUAUUUAGGGAAAAAAGUCUCAGUAGCCCUCCAACUUUUAAUCGGAUGAACUUUUGACCCUCUAACAAUUAAAAGUAAACUUUUGGCCUUUGGUCUAUCAAAACGUAGAGCUGUAAACGAGUUGAAUCGAACCGAGUAUCUCAUGUUUGAGCUCUGUUAAUUAAGCAAUUCGAACAACGUUUGUGUUCGUUCGUUAAUUUUCGAACUCCAAACAUGUGUUCGUGUUCGACUCGUUAAGCAAAGUUCGUGUUCGAGUUCGAGUUCGUGUUCGGCUCAUUUAAUAUAAACGAGUUGUUCGCGAACAUGCUCGAAAUGCUCGAAUCCAAAUUAUUUUAAGCCUUAAAUAUGCCAUGCAAAUCAUUAAUCAUUCUAAAAAAUAAUUAAAACACUAAGUGACUAAAUUCUAUUAUUCAUUAACUAUAUAACUAACAUUAACGUAAAAACAACAAAUAAAACAAAGCAAUUUGUCCUCCAAAUAUAAAAUCCAACCAUAAAAUUAACCCUAAAAUUUGUCAAAUGAUAAUUAUGUCCAUGUUCGCGAACGUUCAUUAAAACUUGCGAACAUGCUCGUGUUCGCUCGAUUAUUAAUCGAACCAAAAAGUUCAUUCCAACUCGAUUUGUUUAAGGUUUCGAACGAGUCUUUCACGAACACGAACGAAUCGAAAUAAACUGAACUACCGAACAGCUCGGUUCGUUUAACAGCUCUAAUCAAAAGUGUAAAUUAUUGGUCUUUCUAUCAAGUUCAACAGUUAUGAGUGAUGGAAACCAUUAUUACGUGUGAUGCAUGAGGAAAUAUGAAGGGCAUUUUAGUCCACCCUAAAAGCUAGAAACCAACACGCCACUUUGCAGAUCAGUUAGACUCAUGAAUAUCAUCUACUCUGCCAAUAUUUUUAAUCAAUAGGGACAGAUGGGAAAUCGAAAUCUCUUUUUAUACAUGACCUCUUUAGGUUUCCCUCCCUCUAGAUUAGGAUAGAUUAGGUUGUAGAUACGUUAUCGUUGCCAUAAAAAAAAGAUGGGAAAUUGAGUCAAAUGAAAGCUGCUUCAAUCUCACCAAGCCCAUUUAAAUUGGCUUUUGCCAAAACAAGAAGUUGUGAUGGUUCAGGAAGCUUUAAGGAUUUCAAGAUGUUAGAGAUUGAUGGAUGAUGACUCCAUCAAAGGAGAAUCAAUGCCCUAGAUUGAUAUACAAGCAAUCAUGAGUACCAGCAGAAAUGAAAUAGACUGAAAUUUUAUGAAGAACCAAGGUCUUGCUUUCAUCAUAUCAUUGUCAAUUCCAUUAGACAUACAACAACUAUUAGGUGAGCUGACGGAUUUCGCUUCAUCUAUUCCUUAUGCAAUUCCUUCACACGUGUCUUGGCUAAUGGUUUCAUUAAAGGUUUUUGGUUCCUCUUUUUCUUCAAUAAUCCCUUUGAAUGAUUCCUCUAUAAUGGGUUCACUAAUGGUUGGCACCGGAACUUUUUUGCCAAAAAAUUAUAGUGAAGAAGAAAAACCAGAAAAAUGAAGAUAUUUUGAAUAGGGAGAAAAAGGAAAAAUGGGGGCCUAGUACUAAGUCAUAUCAGUAACAAUUAGUUACAGAUCUAAAACUACCUUGUCUUUCCAUGUGUGGAUGACGUCUAAGAAAUAGAGGUUUAAAAUUUCCCAAAAAAAUAAAAAGGAAAUAAAGAAAGUCAACUGGUAAUUAAGGAAGCAUUGUUCUGGAGUGGGGCUAGAGGUGGAUCUCCGGUGGUAGUGGCAAGAGCGCAUCUGUUGAGAUUGGUGGCGACAGCAACAAAGAUCUAUUGAGUGGGCAAGUAACCUAACUGAAAUCGACCAUUUAUCUAGGCAAUCUCAGUGGAAUACAUGAGUGCACCUGGAAAGCUACCUCACCUUGAGUUUCAAAUCUAUGUGGUCUAGGCAAAUGGUGCACAUCUUCUAUGGAUGACAAUCAUCUUCUUAGUUCGACGAUGGUGGUGAUGAUUCCGCUUCUUCUUCUCGUUCUCCUCGUUGGAAUUUUCGGUAGAAUCUCAUGGGCAAACGAGAAUGCCCCUGCUAAUUCGUCGUGCAUCACAUGUGAGGUUGUUUUCUGUCAUUCUUAACCGAUGGAAUUGAUGGAAUGACCAAUAUUUUGCACUUCUGAUAGAUCGGGGAUCAAAAGUUUACUUCUAAUUGUUGGAGGACUAAAAGUUCAAGGACCACUGAGACUUAUUUUCCAUGUAUUUAUUCAUUUACAAAAAAUCUUUAUUAACACAUCCAUGCAAUCAUGUAACAUUGUAGACUAGUUAUGCAUGCUGGUACACAAAAAUAUGCAUAUAAAGUAGAUAAGUAUGGUAUUUAUGACGAAUAAUCAUCAUAUUGCAAGAAAUCAAGCAAAUAUACACAAUCUAAAAUUUUUGGUUCCUUCAAAUAAAUUUACUUUGUUUAAAUUCUACAUGAUUAGAAGUAGUUAAGAAGAUUACAUUUAAAGGCCGGAGAUCUUCUUAAUUUGCAACAGAUGAUUUGUGAAGUACAAGCUAUCUACUUAAAAUUAUCCAUGAAUCCAACUUCUAAUAGUCAUCCAUACAAGCCUCUGUGUAAGAAACUUCUCUGGCUAGAUUUGCUUAAACUAGUGAAGUGUUAACCUUGUACCAAGUUCUCACCAUGCACAAGUUGAUAGAAGAAUAGAAGAAGAAGACCCUAAUUUGUGAGAACCUAUAUAGUUUUACCAAAUAGAAUAGAGAGAGAGAGAGAGAGAGAGAGAGAGAGAGAGAGGAUUUUUGCUCUCUUUCUUAGGCCGAAUUUUCUCCACUUUCUCUCUCUAGGUUUUUACUAAAAUCUCACAUAAUUUGAAUUGGUACUAUGUCUUUCAAGAUUAAAUUAUGAGUAUGAGAUUAUAUAUAAACAAAUUAGGUGUUCCAGUUCCUGUAGAAAAUGCCUAUCAAUUUUGAAAAGAAUUUAGUUUCUAUUUUCUAAUACUACUCUUGUUUUAGAAGAAUUACUCUCAUUUACAUAAUAAAUUUUUUAGGUUUAAUUUGUUUCACAAAUUAAAUUAUAAAUUUUAAAAACUUAUCGUUCAAGCCUCUACAUGAAUAUCUUUUAAUCUUGCAUAUGAAACUUUUAAUGUGUAUAACCCAAUAACUUCUCUACAAUGUUCAAGCCUUUAUAAUUUUUUAUCUCUCAGUUUUAAAAUGGUACAUUUUUUGAAAAAUGGAAUAAUUUGAUUCUUUACAUAUGUGAAAUGCACCAUUUUCAUCCCCAUUCUAUUUUAGUUAUAUUUGCAUCUACAAUUCUAAUUUUGAUCUAUAUUGAACCUAAGUUAAAAAAAAAAAUAUUAUGGAGAUACCUAAAUUUGUUCUACAAAUUCUAGAUUAUUAUUUUAAGAAUUGAAAGUUCUUAAGAUCAAGUGUAAACUAGGGAUAAUUUCAAAAAGCUCCCCUUAGGUUUAUGACUAUUUCACUGGCUACCCUUCAGGUUUUAAAAACUACACUAACCUCCCUUGAAGUUUAUUGUCUUAUAAUAUCUAGGUCUAACCAAUAAUUAAAAAAUGAUAUUAGGAGAGAGAAGAUGAUAUGAUUCCACCAUUGCCCCUCAUCUACUAAAUUGUUUAAUUAAUCUAAUAUCAACCCAAACAUUAAAGAAAACACUAAAAUUUGUUGUUUAUCAUCAAGGAAUAAAUGACAUAUGGAAACAAAAAUAGUAUAUCAUUCUAUAUAUUUCACUUAAUGUAAAAUCUAAAUUACUCUUUUCAAUUACAAACCCAUUGUCAAACAUGAUUAACAACAAAUAAUCAAAAAAAUUUGUAACCAAAAUAUUACAAAGAGCGAUUAAUAACAUAAAAUCUCAAUAACUAACCUUAAUAUGCUGACAAGAAUAGUUAUGAUGUUAAAGUUUGUUCUGUGUAAUAUUUGGUUGCAAAUUUUUUAAUUAUUUGUUGUUGAUCAUGUUUAACAAUGACAUAUAACUGAAGGAAGUAAUUUGGUUCUUGUAUCAAGUGAAAAUUAUAAAUUGAUAUACUAUUUUUUAAUAUUAUACAUGAUUUGAUCCCUAAUGCUGAACAACAAAUUUUAGUGUUUUUCUUUAAUGUGUGGGUUGAUAUUAAAUUAAUUAAAUAAUGUAGUAGAUGAGAGCAAUGAUGAAAUCAUAUUAUUUUCUCUCUCCUAAUAGUACUUUUAAAAUAUUGAAUGGAGUUAAAUGUUACAAGAUAAUUAAUCUCAAGGAAGGUUAGUGUAAUUUUUGAAACCUAGAGAGAGGCUAGUGAAAUAGUUAGAAACUAAUUUCAGCGGUGGUUUCUGAAAUAAUCCCUUUAAACUAAGCAAAGGUAAAAUAUUUAAUUUAGUAUUUAAAAUUUAUUUGAGGUGUUUUCAAGGCACAACAAGAAAAUUUCUUCACAAUAACAAAUUUUGAGUGAUUUUCAAGAGUUUUCUAACCUAUUUUCUUUUGUUUUUAAAUAUUUUGAAGUUUUUGUCUAAAUGUUGCACAUAAACUAAGGCAAUUCCUACUGCAAUUAGCUUCAAAUGGUAAUAGUGCUAGUUUUUGUGAUUUUUUUCAUGAUUUUACACAUACAAUAACAAUAUUUUGGCAUAUUGGUUUUUGUUAUUUCAAGUGAAAAUUUUAUCAAAAUUGAUUUUUGGGGAUGAAAAUGGUAUAUUUUUGUGUAUGUAAGGGGGAGGGACUAAGGUCGUCAUUUUAAAAGUGAGGCAUUAAAAAUGUACAAAUUAAAAUAUAAGAGAUACAUUCCUGUUGCUUUAAAAGUAAGGAAUUAAAAAGUACAAGUUCAAAUGUGAGGGCUAUAUCUGCUGUUUUCCUAUAGUAAAGUGGAAGAAUCUUCCUUACAGUCGAAUGUAAAGUUAAGAUUUGACACUUGUUAAGCAGUGCAGCAGUAUGGGUAGUAGGAUAGGAACAGUUGUCAUUACAACUGUUCACGAAUAAUAUAACACACUUUGAACAACUUGUAAGUCUACGUGAACUACUUGUAAAAUUUUGUAAAAGACAUGCAAUUAUUAUGUAUGGUACUCACACGAACGAAUCGUAACAAAAUAUUAUAUCAUAAUUAUAUUGUAAGAUUAUGCAAAUAAUUAAAAAGGAGUUACAACUUAUUUAGACAGUGUUACACUGUUCAUCAAGAAUGAGUGUCCUAGUCUAGGUGUCUGAUAAUGAUGAUUGAUAUUCAAGUAAACGUUGCUGUCCUGUUAGUUAUCCUGUAAUGCCUCCUUGCCUAUUGCGUAUUUGGUUUUAGCUGUUCUAGUGGUGAGGUGCACAAUGCAUGCCUUUUGGACAGAAAUUUUCCUACUUGUCAUGUAUAUUUGACUAAUAACCCUUCUACAAAGUGGGGUACAUAAAGUUUGGAUUGUAUUUUUUAGAAGUAAACUCUUAACACUUUCUUAAGAUGUGAUGGAUAUAAUAUAAAAAGAUAGUUAAAAAUUGUGUUUAAGAAAUAUUUUCAAAAAACUCAAAAAAAUUAUAAAAAGAGCAACAAUCCAAUUUUUUUUUUGAAAUGUUUCUAAGCAAAGGUGCAUUGUCUUAAAAAAAUUCAACUCAGUAUUGAUAGCAACUGCAAUUGGAUAAUUGGAUGAUGAUAACUUUUCUAAUUCUACUCUCAAGUCCUCUUUGUCCCUUUCUCUUUACAAGAUUUAGAAUCUCCUUAAACUUUAACACUCUAAAGAAGAACAUAAAAAUUAAGUACAUGGAAUUAUUGAAUUCCAUAAAUUCAAGAGUAUUGAGUUGACAUAUUUGGAUGAAAGGAUGUAAACUUAGAUUCACUUAUUUCUUUCUCAAAAUAUUGAUUGAGCAAUAAAUAGUCGCGGAUUAGAUUGUUGAUCAAUUGAAUAGCCAAGAGUUCGAUCGGGUAGAGGGCAAACUUUUUUUGGGUUAAUUACACCAAAACUCUAACCUAUUGAAAGAAUUUUCUUUGAAUGUAUAAUAAGAAUUCUUAAAUUCGUCUACUUGGUUCUUCAGAUGUCCCAUGUCUACUUAUUUCUUGAAUCAGCAAGGCCUCAAUUUGGUGCAAUGUCUAAUCAGAGAAAAUGGAAAACCCCAUUUAAUGCUAUAAAUACUAGAUAGAGAAAUUUGAAACGGAGUAUUUGCCCAAAAUAGUUUUGAUACUUGAAAGUAAAUCAACAAUUCCUCGUGAAAAACCUAAGACCUAAUUUAGUCAAUAUGACAACAUUGAUAUCCGUGUUUCAACUCUCAAACUCUCCCCUUUCUCUCUUUCUUGUAAAACUUGAAGUCUCAUCUCUCUAGUUGGCAGGGCUACAAAUGAGACUAAUUAAGCCAAACACCAUAGUGUUUAAACAUACUUGAUUAUUUUAAUAAAUUUAAAAUUUUGUUCAAAUUUGACUUAUUUAUUUGUUGAACUGAAUUUGACCGAACUUUUUAUCGAAUUUGAAUGCUAUUAAAUGUAUAAUGCUUUUCAAAUUUAACUUGACUAAUUAGCAAACCAAUUUUGAACGAACUCUUACCAAAUCAAAAUCGGUUCGAGUAUCGAAUGGAUUGGUUUAUUUUCAAUCCUACUAGUUAGAUAUUUCUUUGUCUAAUUGAUAAUACUAGACUGGUCAGAGACCAAUUACUAGACUUGCACUUGCUAGUCCAGUCUAGUAGGUAGUUUGGAUCGACAUAAAUUUCUUGUGAUUACAAGGUAUCUCCCUUCAAGCCAGAAAAAUAACAUAAAUAAACACCACUAUGUGAUAAUUUCAAUAAAUUUCAACAUAAAGUUAAAUUUGACCAAAGAAAUAUAAAUCCGACGGGGGAUGAAGAAACCUAAUUGAAUACACCACACCAAUCAUUUAAUAUCCCAUUACUUUAAUCUUAAAAAUUGAUAAAAAAAAAAUUAGCAUAAAGUUAAAUUUGACCAAAGAAACAUAAAUCUAGCGGAGGACGAAGAUACCUAAUUGAAUACAUCGAACAUUUUAUAUCCCAUUACUUUAAUCUUAAAAAUAAAAAAAGGGAAAAAAUUAGUUUGAAAGCACAAACACAAUAAAUAAAUAAGGAUCUGUACUGGACAUUUUUUAAGAUAUAUAUAUUUCAAAUGUCAUUUUUUUAAAAUGUUCCCCAGAGGAUGUGGUAUAUUUUGAGCCAUCACUUAGCACAUAGGCCCUUGGGACCCAGUAGUUGCAGGCUCAGACACGUUACUUGCUUAUUUGCAUAAUUAGUAAUUAAUAUUGCCUAGUUGGAUAAUUACAGGUUGUUUUCAUUAUUUUCCUUUUUUCUUUCUGUUAAAGAAUUAUGACAGGUUCAACGCUUCGAACCAACUCUUGGGCCUCACGCAACCUUCCCCAACUUGCUCCCCAAGAAAAACUGAAUCGGCAUUCUUUUGAGCUUUUAUUAUUAAAGAAACAUUUCUUGCUCUCCUAGAAACUUCGGAAUAUUCCUAAAUUCUCCCCAGCUUAUCUUUUUUGAAUAUUCUAGUCAAAUUAAGUUACGGAUUAAGAUGAUAACAAAAAAAGCCCACCUUCUAUGUUUAAGAUAUUUACUCUUUCUUUGGUCCAAAUUCCAAAUGCAUUAAAAAAAAAGGUCCAUGAUAUUGAUUUGAUUAACUUUGCAUUUCAACUAGGUUAUAUUCUCACGCAAAUAUAUUUUUUUGUUCAAAUUCAAAGUAGAAACUUUUUAAUGAGUGCCCCAAUUCAUGUCAACUCAUUAAUACACCCUAAUUUCCGUAUAAUUUAUCAUUUGAUUAUAAACACUCGUACAUAAGCUUUUCCAAAUCUAGUUUUAUAUUUUCAAAAAAAUUCAACACGAGAGGACUCUCAAGUGUCCAAUGUACAUUGUUAGACAACAUUAGAUACACGGAGAGUUUCACGAGAUUUCUUUUUUUAUUAUUAUUAUUUUAUUAUUUUCUUCUCUUUUCUCCUUUUUAGGGGACAGAUUUUACUAGUAUCCAAAGUCAAAAUUGAUCUCAUAUUAUGAUACAUUUCUAGAGAGAAGUUUUAGAAGUUUUGGUCAUCAUAAAUUAAAAGACCAUUUUGACCUUUACCAAACCCUCUUUGUGAUGAUAUACAUAUGUUAAUCCUCAAAACCUUCUAGGCAAUUUAGUCCUUUGUUGCAUCUCUAGACUAUAGUCAAAGAGGGUAGACAAUUAAAUAUAUGGUCAUUUUCCACAGACAAAAAGGAGAAAAAGAAAACAAUAAUAGCAACAAAAUAAUAAUACCAUUUUCCACCGCCAUACAAAUUACCAUAAACCAACUCAUGCACGUGACCCAUAAAACCAUACUAUAAAAUCCCCCUUCAUCACACAAGGGGGGAAAAAACAAGAAAAUUCUGCGCCUCAAAAAUUUCUUUCCAAAGAUCUCGUAAACCUUAAAAACAUCAAGAAAUCUUGUUCUUCUUUCUCUCUUGAAAGAAAGAUGAUGAGCCGUGGUGCAACAAGGGUUGCCCGGUCGGUGAUCGGCCACAUGGGGCCGCGUUAUUUUUCCGGUGCAGCCAUGGGUCCGCACGACACCAGCUUGGGGAAACUUUUUGCAUGUGGAGCCACGGGUUUCUUGCAUGGCAAUCCAGCUAAGCCGUCGGAGAACGUGAUGGUGGCGUGGUUUGGGUAUGGAGGAAUUGGUUCACGCCAGGCGAGCACGUUGGCUUUGGGUGAUAAGAAGGUGGAGGAUGAGGAGGAGGUGAAGGCGGUGAAAAGUGGUGCAGCUGGUGGUGCCACGGCCGCGGCGGGUGACGGUGGAAAUGGGAAUAAGGAGGUUGUGAGUUAUUGGGGUGUUGAGCCGCCUAAAGUUACCAAAGAAGAUGGUUCUGAGUGGAGCUGGAAUUGCUUUAGGGUAUGUAUGAGCCAAAAAAAAAAUGUUAACAAGGGAUGAAUUUGACUUUUUUUUUAUAUUUUUGUUCUUUGGGUUUUUUAUGUUGGAUUUAUUUUGAUUUUUGAUUGAAAAUAAUAUUUGUAUGAAGCCCUGGGAGACCUACAAGGCAGACCUGACAAUAGAUCUGGAGAAAAAACAUGUGCCAGUGACAUUCUUGGACAAGUUUGCACUUUGGACCGUCAAGACCCUUAGGUGGCCCACCGAUUUAUUCUUUCAGGUAUUUUCUGAUAAAUUUUUGAAUUUUUUUAGCUUGAUUUUCUUAUUUUUCUCUUAACUGUUCCAAGAAAUUUGUAAAUCUCAAUUGCUAAUCUAGAUCUAAUUCCCUUAUUGAACUAAGAGAAAAAAAAGAUUAGAAGAAAAAGGAAAUAUAUUUCGUUAUUCUCAUAUAUUUUUCUAAGGGACAUUUUGUAUAUCUUUCACAACGUAGAAAAAAAUGAAGAAAUACAUAAAGAGUGUGUGUGUGUCAUAAAGUGUCAUAAUUGUUGGGCGAUUGGAUCUUCAAAAACCAGAAUUUUGAAUUGAUGGCAUGUUAAUCAGUUGCAAUUGUCCAAGUCAAAUGGCAUACAAUUGAUAGUUCAGAGUUGCAGUGGUAACAAUUACGUGCAAAUUGCUUGAUUGUUUCUUGAUGGUCUACCAUAAAACAAACAAAGAAAUUGAAAAGGAUAAAAGGGAAAAAAAAGGAAAAAAAAAAGGAUCAAGACAUUAGGCAGUAGGGACCUGCAAUAAUCUCAGAGUUGGACCUAACUUGUUGCAAAUUGAAACAGAGGAGGUAUGGAUGUCGAGCAAUGAUGUUGGAAACUGUGGCAGCAGUCCCCGGCAUGGUUGGAGGGAUGCUGCUUCACUGCAAGUCAUUGAGGCGAUUUGAACAUAGUGGAGGCUGGAUCAAGGCUUUACUUGAAGAAGCCGAGAAUGAAAGGAUGCACCUCAUGACCUUCAUGGAGGUUUCAAAACCAAGAUGGUACGAACGUGCACUCGUUUUCGCGGUCCAGGGAGUUUUCUUCAACGCAUACUUUUUAACAUACAUUCUCUCACCCAAAUUGGCUCAUCGCAUCGUGGGGUACUUGGAAGAGGAAGCAAUUCAUUCCUAUACUGAAUUCCUCAAGGAAUUGGAUAAGGGCACCAUUGAAAAUGUUCCUGCUCCUGCUAUUGCUAUUGAUUACUGGCGCAUGCCUCCUGAUUCGACUUUGCGCGAUGUUGUUAUGGUUGUCAGGGCUGAUGAGGCUCAUCACCGCGAUGUUAACCACUUUGCAUCGGUAAGGGCACUCAGAAUUGUGUUAUUUCAUGAUCCGUUAUAGUCAUGCUCGUCAGAUUUUGUUGCCUGCAGGGCAGUGUUAGGCCUUUUCUUGAUGCUUGAUUUUGGAUUGGAUUUUGACGCAGGACAUUCAUUAUCAAGGACAUGAGCUGAGGAAGGCUCCAGCACCACUUGGUUAUCACUGAAGGAAGCGCAGGUCUGGUGAUGAUACACAAGCAGAUGGUGUUUAUCUUCUGGCAUAAAAGGCUGAGAAAUAAUGAUAUUAUACUGAACUACAAUCCUGACUUAGUUUUCUAGAUGUAUAUAUUACAAUACAGCACGAGCCAGAGUCUGAGUUGUUUGAUAACUUCUUUUCCCGGUUGGAUUUAAGAUUUUUGGGCAGUAAAGUUGUUAUAAAAAGUAUACUAUUGUGGUUUUGCUAUUAUUUUCAGUUUUAUGCAUCUUUGGAGUUGUAUUUUACUAUUAGAUGCUAAUAUGGUCUUCCAUUGUUCUUCUUGUCUCCAAAUGGCAGGGUGAUGCCCUGCUUACAAUUUCAAAAUGUUUGGAAAACUACAGAGGCUCAGUAUGUUUCCAAACAAUUAACAUCAAUUACUGCUUCUUCCGCCGAUAAUUGUAUCUGGUAAGAGAACUGGAAGGAAGCUUGCUUGCAAUAUAUGUCACAAGUAUUGAAAGAAUCAGAGCAUUUGGAAAUAUUCAUAGACCAAAUGUUUGAGCCGUUAAUUACCUGGAGCAUUCCCAGGUGUACUUCACUUUUCCAAGGCACAGAAGUUUUGCAAAAUUGGCAGACUUUUUCCACAUGGAAGAUUCUUGAAUUUGAGGUUGUUUGACCAAUUUGAGCACGUUAUAUGGAAUUUCAAUAGGAUUAUCAUAAAAAAAAAUGUUGCAAAGAACUUUUCAAGCUUCCUGAUAAGUUCUGAGGGGAGACAAAGUUGACUGGACAGAAUAGUUCUGUCUUAACAUCUAUCAGAUGACUCGUUUCUAUUAACCUGAGCCUAAAGCAUGAGGAGCUUUGCCAUACUACUAGCUAAUAGUUUUAUAGAAACUAUUAGUAAUUACUAAUGUCAGGGACAGGGAAAGGGUUGCAUGACACACUUUGACAUAUUGGAAUCUUGCUUGUUGAUAAAGAUCAGGGGCUUGAUCAAGUCAUGCAGGCUGGUUUUUUUGCAAUAUAUCAAGGGAAGUGAAAGGAUGUUAUAACAUCCUGUCUUGGCAUAUGUGAAUCUUGUUUGGUGAUACAUAUUAGGAGCUUGAUUUCUGGGCUUUUAUAGGCAACUGAGCUUGUGCCUGGAGGAGAGAAAACAGGGUACACCAUGCAGGAACAAAAGUGUAUAUGGGAGCAAUUAUAUUCUAGAUUUUGAUCAUUAUAUUAGGCAGCAAGUCCAUAGCAGGGGAACAGUUUUAACAUAUGAAGACAUGAGAGGUUGAAUUUCCAAAGGAAGAGGAACAGUUGGCAGGAAAAUACCCAAAGCAGUAGCCCCUAAUUCAGUUGACUGUUCCCAAAAUGAAGAAGCAAUGGCUUGAGCUGAAAAGGAGAAACAGAAAAUGAUGUUGGCUGGCUGUUUCUCAAAUUUGCGGUUGGUGUAAGAUCAAAUAAUUGGCUUAUAUUCUGACCUCGUGAGGCAGAGUCAAGGCUGAAAAGUUAUAGCCUUCUAGUCCAAGAAUUGGCCGAGAGAUCGGCCUGGCUGAAGCCCAGAGAAGUGAAUACAAAUUUGACCGUGGUUAUUAAACUCGGGCGACAAGGAACGUGGCACAGAGAUAAGGUCAACGACGUCACUGGUUGGGUCAACCUGUGGACAUUAAUUUAAUAUUUAUAAAUAUAAAAUAAUAAUUUUAAUAUACGUAAAAUAUCUAAUAAAGUGCUUUUAGAUACCACUCAGAAAGAUAUAUAAUGAACAUAUAAAUAUUAAUACAAGAUUUAAUUUCAUUUUAUUAUACUUUUACAUAAAAAAUAAUAUAGUCAAAUAUAAAAUAAAAAUGUGUCACUUGGUUUUAAAGACAUAGCAUCAUUAUUUUAUUUUAUUUUAUUUUUUAUUUAAAAAUAAAAUAAUUUUCCAACUACUCAAAUAUUGCCAUUUUGAAAAUUAAAAGGAUUAAUCUAUGACAAAAAGUAAAUAAGUUUAUUUAAAAAUUAUUCAGUUAUCAAAUAAAAAGUAAGCAAGUGGCAAAGUCUUAUGCACAUUUAAAUGAAGAUCCAAUGUACAAGUCUUACCAAAAAUAUAUAUACAUUUUGUUUCAACAAUAAAGACUCCAUAAUUGUAUGCAUUAAUUUUUUAUACACUAACAGUAUAGUGAUUUUUUUAUAUUAACAUUUUUGGAUGAAUGUCACAUGUGCAUGAUUUAAAUUUCAAAUUUAAAUUCAUAUUAUAUGGUCUGAUCUAAACCUGCUAAUAUAACAAAAAUUAUACACUAAAAGUUAUUCUAAUUGUAUUAAAAAGAGGUCAAUUUGAAAACCGAACUAGUUCUCAAAUGAGCCAGCGGGUCAAAUGGAUUUGACCAGAUUUAAUCGGAUCAACUCCUUGUCUGAUCAACUAGAGAUGCAACUUAGCGUGAUGCUUAGGUCACUAGGCCAACAAGUUCAACCAGAAGACGGGUUGGGUUUAAUAACUAUGGUUUUGAUAGCCUCCACAUUCAAUUCAGAUUUAUUUAUAGAAAAAAAGACUUUUGGUAGCACCAAAUUGUUUUUAAAUAAUUUGCUUAAAAGAAAAAAGGUUUGGAUGACUAGAAUGCAACAAAGGCAACAAAUUUAGGUUAGAUACUAAGGGGUGAGUGCCCGCACAUUGCGCGGGUGUUUGGUGACUGUAGUUGAAAAAGAUUUUUCAUUGAACAAAUAAUAGUAUAUUUUGCAAAGAAACAGUCAUCAAAUAUGACAAAACAAGUUUGGAAUUUAUUGUCCAACUCUAAAGAAGCUAGAAUCUGAUGCUUUUAUGUAAAAUGUGUUCAACAUCAGUAUAUAGCAUGAGUAGAGGUGGCAAAUCAACUCACUUAAUUAAAUUUACCCAUACCCGCCCAUGAAUAAAUGGGUAUGGGUAUCUUAAAUUUUUGUAUAUGGGUAUAAAUAGGUUACCCAAUAAUACUAAAUGGGUAUUAUUGGGUAACCCAUCAAAUCCAAUUAACCCAUUUAGAAUUCUCUUCCCCCCAAGUCUCUUCUUUUCCCCCACCCAUUUUUUUUUUCAAAAUUUUCAUUUUGUCAUGAUGUUAACUACUUUUAUUUCAUUAUUAUUAUUGUUAUUAUUAUUAUUAUUAUUUGUUGGUUUUAUCUUAUUAUUUUCUUUUCUCUUAGUUUGUUAACUUGCUCAUUUUUCAGCAUUACUAAUUUAUGAUAAAUUUUAGCCUAUUUUCUUAUCUUUCUAAAAUGAAAAUUUAAAUUUAUAUAUGAAAAAAAAUUUAGGGGUUCAAAAUUUUUGGAUUAAGUUUUAUAUUAAUUUUUAUAGUACUUAGUUCAAAAUUUUAUAUUCUUAUUAUUCAAUUAUUAAAUAAUAGGUAAUUUUGUGACAUAGAGUAUAAAUGAAAAAAAAUUGGUAAUUAAGUGUAUUGAACAUUAUAAAUAAAUAUUUAAAAUUAAUGACGGGUACAAAGAGUGGUAUAAAUUGAUAACUUAGUUUGCAAAAAUGAAUUUUAAUGAGUUUACAAAAAGUUAAAAUAAAUGGGUUAUAAAUGGGUAAUUGGGUUACCCAAUUCAUUUUUUGACUUACUCAUUUAUACCCAUCUAAUUAAAUAGGUAUAAAUGAGUUGACUCACUUUUACCCAUUAUCCAUUUUACCCAACCUAAACCCGCCUAAGUCACCCAUUUUGACACCUCUAAGCAUGAGUAUUUGUCCGCGCAUCGUACUUAUGAAGUCCUAAAGGUCAGAAGAAUCAAGUAUGAAGAAAUACCUAGGAAUCUGGGACACCCACAAGAGUCUCCUUCUUUAAUGAAAGCGUGACAAAUCUAGCAAAACCCUUUGCUUUCCUAUAUGUUUCAAUGUCUUAACAGUUCACCAAAUAAUUAAAUUCCCCCAUUCUCAACAUAUGUAGUUUACAAAUUUUUUUUCCUUUUUCACAGCUCAACUAACAAUAGGCCCCCAAUCUUUGAAAUUAAGAAGAAAUACAAAGAGCAAAACAAGUAGUCAUUGGGUGAGAUUCUUAACAGCUAGGUAGUGGUAAACUUUGUAGAACCAUCAGAUCCUAACGCCAUCAUGGUUAUUGCCUUUGUCCAUGUUCGUUUGCAGUAUCACUUCAUCCUCUGAUCCUUCUCUUCACCACAGCAACUGCUAAACACAGCAAGUCAAGUUCCAUUAGAAACAAAAGAAAGUAGAUGUGAUCAAACAAAACAAAUAGUAAUACAGUAGAUUAAAUGUUUAAGUUCGGUGGAUUUUGAGAUUAGGUUUGGUGCAUUCAAAUGUUUGUACUAUAGGCAAUUUGAGACUUUGUAGCGGCGGUAUGGUGCCUUUAUAACCUGAAAGGAACAAAAUUAAGACACCUACAAAGAUUUUGCAGAUUUACGAACAACCACAAUCUCAAAUUUAAGGAUAUGAGCUAACACUGCUGCUACACACCAGAAGAACCACCCAUAUAAACAACAAAAUUAAGGUUCAAAACUCACCACAAGCUGAACCACCACGAAUAGCUGCAACUGAAGACCAUGCUUGAAUGCUGAGUAAAAAGGCAACAAAAAAAAAAAUCCAAUCCCGGAAACCGAUGCUCAAACAUUAAUUCAUUAACAUACCCACAUUUAUGGCUGUUAAAUUGAGAUGUAAAUGGCAGAGAAAUGGGUUGUUUCCGACCUGAGCUUUAACAUUGUUGGGAGUUGUGCAAGUGAUUAGACAUAAGUUAUUUCAGACAAACGAAUAUCCUCAAACAGUUAUCUUUGUUUUAAAAGCCACACUUCAAUUAAAUGUAUCUAUAAUACCAUUUUAGCAAUUACACCAAUGCAUAAACUUACAUGAGUUGUAGCAAAGUAAUUACACAUUCCAUAAAUACCCAGUUGUCUCCAUAAAUCAAAGCUUUAAAUGUAUAAAAAUAAGAGCAUUUUAGUCAACAUACCCAAACACAUGCUGUCCUCAGUUGUACCAAAAGGUUUAAAAAAAUUACAUAACAUUCCACAUUUCCAGAAAGCCCCUAUCCAUGCGAUUGAAAUUGAAAACUUCUUUUGACCACAACUCAUUUUAUAUAGUAUAAAGAAACAUCUUAUAAUCAAGAAUAAAUUAGCACCUACUAAAGACCAAAUUUGCUUUCUUUUAAUCUUUUUUUUUCAUUUAAUUGAAUACUUUAAUUUCAUAAAUUUUUUCUGUUGGGAUUAGUCUUUCAGUUAAUGCCAGUGUAAGAUUUUGUUCAACAAACUUAGAGGUUAUAUACAUGUGCCAUGAAUUCCUUUGGUUCUCCUAUUUAUUAUGUAAUUAAAAUAGAGGGAUCGAAAUGGAAAACAUUUACUAUCAGUUCAUAUGGUACAAUAUAUUUCUAGUCGGACAAGAUUUUUCUUUCUUUUUUUUAAAGUUGCUAAACAGCUACUCCUAAACAUGAGAAGAUGAAAUCCAUAGCAUAGAGCUCAUUGUCAACUUUCUUAGCAAUUAUUUUUCUGGCGGGAAAGUUUAUUAGGCAGCUUUCAUGGAGAGUUGAUAAUUGUGAUCUGUUUAUCAUGAUCCAGCAUAAAAUCUUUCUUCACAAUUUUCAGUCAAAUUCCAAGCCACAUUAACAAAAUAUAUUUCUAACUUCUACUAGUUUUUUAUAUGAUUAAUUCAAGGAAAGAACAAGAAAUGAGAUGAACUCGAUAAAAUCAAAAAUAUUUGAUGCAUACUUCCAUAAAAAACUUCAAGUAAAGGAAUAUUGUUGAAUUUCUUUUGUUACUAAACAUGCAUGAAAGAUGGUGCUGUCAGAAUUAUUUGCAUCCAAAGCUAUUAGAAAGGAGUCCAGAAAAUACAUUUUGUUGGGAGCACUACUCAAAAAGUUCAAAUGAGGUACCAAGAAUCAAUGUGAUUAAGAUUGGUAACUUAUACACGAGAAAUAACAUUACAGCUACUACUCUUAAGUAUCCUUCAGAAAACAUGCCAUGAAGGGCUGGCAAGAAAUACAGCAAAAAGCAAUACACAUCUCCAUCCAUAUUCAUCUCUGCCUCUCUCACGGUAUACUGGACCGCUCUCUUGGAAAAAUCCAAGAGAAGGUAGAUAAAUACUUGAAACAUUAUGACCAGGAUGAUAACAAAAGGUUUGUUGAUGCAUAUUAGGGGCCUGAUUUUGAAUUUUUAGACCACUGGGCAUAUGCGUGGAGAAAAGGAAUGAGGGAAUGAUAUGAAUCCAACCGCAAUUGGAAGAACUUGUAUCCCGCAAAGCCCCUGAUCUAGAUGAAUAACUAAGUUGGAGUUGCGGAAACUCUUGGCCUUUCUAACCCACGAAAUUGCAAAUCUUGAAUUUAAUCUCAACUCACAACUUAACAAGAUAGUGAACCAAUAUUUUUGAUAGAUCACGUGACAACCAAUUAUGGUUUAUUGGUUGAUAAGUCAAAAAACACUUAAGAAUAAUUCUAAAAGUAUUCAAUUGAAGGUCUCUUAGACAAGAGAGUUGCGAAACACACGUGUGUUUGCUGAAAAUUUUCAAUCGUAUUAAUCUAUCAAAAUAACGUUGGUAUAAGGCCCUAUUUAUAGCCUUUAUAAGUCUUAAGAAAUCUACUCAAAUUUGGAAACAAAUUACUACUUUCUUAAAAUCCUAAUUCAGCCUUGUCAUUGGUCAACAUGACCUGGCUUUAUUUUCUUAACUUAACGACUCAACUAACUCUUAAACUAACUCUAAUUUAUCAACUAACAAUGCUGAAAAUUAACUAAACAAAGAGACAACAUGAAUUAAGUUUAAACAAUUUCGGAUCUUCAAUGAACUUGAUUACUUGCUUCAUGUGAAACUUGAGCAUGCGAAAUUUUCAUGGACUAGAGUAGGGGAGGGGGAUCUGGAUUAUAUCAGGGAACACCAUUCAGGAACAGAAUCUAUUAUCAUAUAAAGCAGAAGUCCACAGCGGAGGAAGAGAGUAACACAUGAUGAAAUGAGAGGUUGAAUUUCCAAAUGAAGAGGAAUAGCUAGCAUGAAAAUAAAGAAAGAAGUAGCCCUUCAAUCUACUAUUUUCCAAAAUGACAAAGCAGUGGUGUGAGCGAAAUAUAAAUCUGGAAUUAAACAUUUAACUGACUUUGGUGGGGAAAGAAUCAAAAGAUGCUGGUUGUUUUUUCUCAUUUCCCCUAUUAGGCCAACGUGACAUCACUGCAAAGUUUAUUAUCAGCACAGAAUAGAAAAGCACCCGUUAGAAGUUAUGCACAACCUGUAACAAACAACUAAGAAUAAAUUCGAAACUUAGUUCAUAAUUUUAAGAAGCAAGAAAUGAAUAAAGUUGAUCGCAUUUGGGAUUGCUCAAACUCAAAGCAAAGAAUAGAAUCAGUGUACCUAAUCUUAACAAUAGAAAAGUGCGAAUCCUAGCAAUGCAUAGUGAUUUUCAUCCCCUGUCAACACCAUUAGUGUGUGGGUUUUUUUGGUCAUUUCGCACGCAUUUUACGGUGAUGGGUUGCUCGUAUUUUUGGCUACAAUUGGUUGGUGUCUUUUUGCUGACCAUCCUACCCUUGGAUUCCAUUUCUACCCAGCAUGGAGUAAUUAUCCACAACAAAUGUGGCUAGCUUUGUGGUCUCUUGCCUUGAUCCACCUCUUUCGGCAGCUGUAUUAUGACAUGGCUCAAGUUCCAAUCCAAAAACUUGGUGGGAUCUAUAAUGAUGCGUUAAGCUAUUACUUACACAUUAAACAUACUUGCACUUUUCCAUCUCUCUCUCUCUCUCUCUCUAUAUAUAUAUAUAUUACUUUAAAUUUUAUAUAUAUUUUUAGUGCAAUUGUCACUGAUUACUUAGAUCUUGAAGAUAAUAUCUACCUAUCUAUUGAAGUUGCCAUGGUUUCCUGACUUACCAUGUUUCAAUUUCUUAUUUAUUUCAUUUGCCUAUGAAUAAAACUUGAUUUUAUAUACAAUUGUAGACACACUAUUGGUGAAAAGUAGUAAACGAAUGACAGCCUAAAUAAACAUAAUUCCCUGAGUGUUCUUGACUUUUAUAAUUCUUAAUCUCUGAGUUAACAUUUAACUAUACAUUUUUCCAUAAAAAGUCCUAAAAAUAGCGAAACAAGAAAUUUUAUUGCCACUAAAUUCUUUGGGGCAGUAUCCUUACUUUGUGAAAGUAGUUAUAAUUGUGGCUCGAUUCGUGCCAUAUUGAUAUAUACAUUUGGGAUGAUGGAGUGUCAUUACAUAGGUCUUAAAUCAUUGCAUGUACGGUGCGAGAGUUUUACACUUUGGUUGUGCAAGCUAUGAUUGUAUUAUCAUCCUUUAGAUUACCAUGUGCGAAGGGUUUAACUGCUUGCAAGCUAAUUUAAAUGCUUUGUUGUGAUUAAAUUUGGUUUUUGGUGUGUACAAACUCUAAAGGUAAGAAAGGAAAAAAAAUCUCAGUUUUCAUUAGGAUCUGAUUUCCUAGCUAGAAAAGAUGGUUUUUGGUGCGUACAAACUGAGCUAUUUCGAAUCUUAGUUUUUAACUACUUUAUUUUAUACUACUUUUACAUAUUUAUAAUCACAACAACACCGUAUUUCAACGGACAACGUCGUGCAAUAUCCGGACAACCUCGCGCCUCGCGCGACGCUAAUUAUGUCUAAUUCUCUUUCAUUUUCAUCCUUACGUCAACAAUCACAAAUGGCCGAGCCUAUUGUAUCAUUUCUUAUCGAAACCAUCGGCAAAUUGUUGGUUGAAGAAGGACAUUCUUAAGUGGGUUGACCGAAGAAGCUGAGCAGCUUCAUUCAGAGCUAAAGAUUAAGCGGUCUCUGUUAAAAGAUAAUGAUGAAAAGCAACAUGAGGCUGCAAUUGUUAAAGAAUGGCUUUCACAAUGCAGCGAUCUAGCUUAUGAAGCUGAAAACGUGCUUGAGGCUCACGCUUUCAAGCUUGCAUCAAGACAGAGCGCAAGAGGCACUAGGAAUGUCAUUCGAAGAUACGCUUGUAUUUUGAAUGAAUAUUGUAUUCGUCACAGAGUUGGAUUAGAGAUUCAAAGUCUUAAUACCAGAAUCUCUAAUCUAACUCGACGUUUUCAAGAAUAUGGAAUAAGUUCUCUGCAGCAACAACUGAGGAUGACAUACUCGUAUGUUGCUGAUAAUGAAGAUUUUGUUAGAUUUAGACCUUAUGUUGAGGUGCUAGCAUGGUUCAAAGUCGCAGUCGCGGUUGCGGUUGUGUCCUGGACCGUUCCACAUCGGUCUCGGCAUAUCGAUCGCGGUCUCGGCGAGACGCGAAUUUUUAAAAUAUUUAAUAUUCUAAAAAUUGUAAAAAAAUAUGAUAAACAAAAAUAAUUUAAAAAUUAGUAAAAAUAAUAAAAAUUCGAGUUGAUUCGGGAUGACUCGGUGAGAUUCGGCCGUUUCAACUCUUCACGGUGACGUCUUGGCGAGUCACGUAUCUCGACAUCAUUUCGUCGCGGUCUCGUCUCGGACUAGACCGAGACGGUGACGACUCGGCCGAGUCUUCGAACCGUGCUAGUGCAGAUCUUGGUGAAUGAAGAUGCAUUUCUUGGCUCUUAUGGAGUUGUUUCCAUCUACGGCAUGGGAGGCUCAGGCAAGACAAGAAAGGUAUACAAUCAUCCUAAUGUGAAGCAUCCUUUUAACAGUUUUGUUUGGGUUGGUAUAUCCCAAAAAUGGCAGACAAGAGAGAUCUUGCAAGGGAUUUUGGUCAGUUUUCUCCCGAACAGAAGAGGGGAGAUUUAGAAAUGGAGAGAUGAUGAACUAGUCGAGCAACUUCUUCGAGUUCAGCAAAAUAAAAAAUGCCUUGUCGUUCUUAAUGAUAUCUGGUCCACAAGUUGCAUUUCCAAUUGGAAGGAAGGGCAACAAGAUAUUGCUCACAACUCGGAACAAAAAUGUGGCAAUGCGCAUUGGUCCAAAUGGCUUCCACUAUGAACCAAGAUUGUUAACCAAUGCUGAAAGCUAGGAGCUUCUGCAGAGUAAGGCAUUGAGAGGCCAGCCUAACCAAGGUUAGUUUUUCCUUAGCCAAUAUUCUUGCACCCCAACAAUGAGCUGUAAUGUUUAUUGUCAUCAUCGUUCAUCAUGCUAUUAAAAUUAUAAACCUCCUAGGCUGUCUGGAUUUACAUUUUCGAAUGGAGGGAUUUAAGGAAAAUGACUAUAACGGGUGAAAGAGUACUAGUGAUGUGGUUCAUACAAUUGAACAAUCUUGUAGUAUGGUCAUACUUGGUCUGAACAACCUAAAUGUGCCAUAUGGUUCAUAUUAAUGAACAAACAUGGACCAAUUAACUUAAACUAAUAUCUACGGCAUUCAUUAAAAUCAUGCUGCUUAAAAAUGGAUCAUUUUAAGAUGGAAUAUUGAUCACCUAGAUAUGCUAAGAUUUGAACUUUAACUUCGGUUUAAGUUUCAGACUGCUAGCAAUUUGUUGAGUUUUUAUUUUCAUGAUUAUUACUAGAUCAUGAAAAGGUGAAGAUUUAACAAAUACAGUGAUGAUCUUCUUUACCAUUUCUCGAGAGAAGUACAUACGAAUCCUAUCUAGUCUUUCAGACAGUAUCGUAGGCUAUGUUUGGUCUGCUGUUUCUCAAAUUUGUGUCAUAGAGACUAGGUUUCUAAAGUCCCUGUUAUAUCCCUAUGGACCAAUCCAACAAAAAUUAAUUUGCAAAAAAUUAGAAAAAAAGUGACAGCAUAGAAAAAGAUUAACUUAUUUCAGUUUAAGUCUUUAAUCUGCUUAACAGGGUUCUAAAUUAACCUAUCCUUGAACCACAAAGCCUUCAAAUUGUUUGAUUUACAGAUUAAUCUUGUCCCUGGCACUUCUAUACUGAAAAUUGAGUAUUAAAAGCCUUCAAAAGGUUUCUUCCAUUUCGGCUUCAUUUUAGACCAACUUGGGGCAACUGUGGUUGGAAUUUUCAUAUAACGAUUCAAUUAUUAUAUUUGUUUUACACAAUAUAUUGUACACUUGUAUAACUUUGUUAUACUUAUAAAUUUUAUUAGUGUAUGCUAUUUCAAUAUAUAAAUAUAACUGUAUUUGUAAAACAAAUAUAACAAUCAUACUCAACUAUAUCAAACCUGAUCGUACCUAUCUUAAUCCCAUUUUAGAUCACUACUAUUCAUCGUUCCCUACUUCUCUUGCUCCCACUCUAACCAAAGAAGAAAAAAUUCAGAAAAGGCCAGACACCGUGAACUAGGUUGGGUUUUGGGAACGUUCGUGUAAUAUCUUUAUAUAACAAGCUAGUGUAGUUUGUUGUUGUAUUUGUCUUAAGCUUGUUGGACUUUUGAAGGAGCAUGAUUGAUCUCUAUUUUAUAAAGGGUUAAUUUUAGAAUCCUUUCUUGAGGUUUAUCCUAAUAUCAUCUAGUACCUCUGAAAUUUCAAAAAUCUCACAUAGUUCUCUUUGAAUGACAAUUUAUGUAACAUCGUUGCCCUUGGAGGAAAGAGAUUAUUUAUUAUCUUUUCACUUUUACCCUUAUACAAUUUGAUUUAUGAAUUUUCAAAUAUGAACAAAAGACAAAUAAGGUGGAGUAUUAAAUUUAGAAUACGAGAAAUGUAAGUAUAAUAAGUAAUAAAUUUAGUUGUUUCUUAACUAGAGAACACCAUUGUGUACAAGGGUAACUUUUGAAACUAUUUUAAUAUUAUAAAAGGAAAAAACUUUAAGAGAUUGGUCAGAACAAGGAGGAAUAAGAGCAAAGAAACACAUAAAAUUUGCCACAAAGACGGAAAUUAGAGUGAAAAUUUCAGAUGAUCAAUUAUAGCAAAGACGGACAUUAAAAAUAGAAAUUUUUGCAACAAAGAGGGAGAAAAAUAUUUUAGAUGGUAUUCUUGUUAUUUGUUGUUAGAUAUUUUAGCUUGUAGGAUUUUUUUUCUCAACCUUUUGCUACUUGAAAAAGUAGGAAAAUAUUGGGGGUAUGAAUGUCAUUUCAACACCUCUAAUUGGAACAUCUAGUCACGUUAUAGUGAUAGGAAAGGUAAGUGAGAUUUUUGAAAUUUUGAAAGUGCUAGCUGAUGUUAGAAUGAGUCUUGGGGGAGGUUUCUGAAAUUAACCCUUUUAUAAAUUAUUUUUAGUACACAGUGUUGAAGUUUUUCACCUGCUGGAAACAUAAUCUAUCAAAUGAAUGUUCAUAAAAUUUUGUGGAUUCUUCUAGACAAAUAUCUCAACAAUAAACCGUAUGGUCGUAUUAUGAAAUUAAGUCAAGGAUCAACAUCAUAAACACUGCAACACAACUAAGAAGACAAAUGUUAAUUGAAUUAAAUUUCUACACUUUGAUAUUAUAUAUAUUUUUAUCAUUAGGUGUAUGAUACCUAAUUUAAAUUUAAAUUUAAAUCUAAAAAAAAUAAUGAAGAAAAGAGACAAAUAACAAGAACUUGAAUGAAUCUAAUUAUUAAACUCCCUUUUUAAAGAUUGUCGUUAACAUCAUAGUUGGUAGUUGGAACCAUCGAGCUAGUUCCGUAGGAUUGACUCUUUAGCAUCAUAGUCAAUCCAGGAAUCUGGGUCCCAUGGCUCUUUAAUAGGCUGGCCACGUCGACAUAAAUCUGGUUUAUUUGGCUUCCCAUUAUGUGGCUACGGCUUCCAUUCUACUUCUCCGGCUCCUGUCUACUUUCAUUGAGUGGGAGCCAGCUGACUGAAUCGGCACAGCCUCGGCUCUGGCCGGGUCAAAUUUCUUACCAAACACUCCAAUCCGUUAGAGAAACUCGUAGGCCAUGUAACCGGCUAGAAGCCGAUUAUAUGCAAAGCUGAUUCGUCCAGCCCCUGUAACGAUGUUGCUGGAUUAGCUGCUGUUACUUCACGUGAUAGUCUUAUGGUUAAUGAUGUGUUUUAAGAAUCGAAUCCUUCAAAAAAAGAAUGGGAUCGGAUCGAUCAGUUGGACCGCGAAUUAAUCAUGGUAUCAAUCUAAUUCUACAAGAAAGUCGAAAAGUUAAAAAAAUUAAUGAAAAUCAAUUCAAUAAAUGAAACCGAUCAAGUUCUAUUUUGAAUUUUGAUUUAGGACUUGGACCCUUUUUAUGGGCUACCCACUUUUUUGAACUUUUGGGUUUUAUCAAAACUCAACAACUACAAUUAAUUGUCUGCUACUACAAUUAUUGAUCAGUCAUUUUUUUCUCAAAUUGAGAAAAAAAAAAAAAACUUUAGGUGGCCCAACUUAAAAACAAAAUAACUACUCCAACUUAAAACUAAAGAAAUCCUCUUCCUUCAAGAAUCUUUAUCUCCGGAAACGCUCUACAAGUUUCACUCAUCUCCUCUUUUAUUUUAUUUUCUUUUUUCUCUUCUUUUCUAUCUUUUCUUUUACAUUAUUGAUGGUGAAAGUGAUAAUGAAAUUGAACUUGGUAGAUAAAGAAGCACACUUGUUUUCCCUUUCUUCUUCUAUCUUUGGUUUUCAUAUUCAUGAUUUUUCUACCUUUCUUUUGGAGUUAAUUUCACAAAUCCUAUCAGAUUUGUUUUUGAGUUGGGAAAGUUAAACUCGACUUUGUCUAUUUUAAGAUAUUAGAGAGAUUUGUUCAUAAUUUUGUUGUUUCUUUAUUUUUUAUGAAAUACUUUUUCUUUUAUUUUAUUUGUUCAUAAAUGAAUUAGAAGGUACUAGAUCAAUAAAUCUUCUACAGAAGAUAUUACAAAAUUUGGGAUUUUUGUGUUGAUUUUACACGUUUCUGCUUAUUUGCUAUUUUCUUAUUUUUAAAAAUAAUAAAUAAAUAAAUCAAUCAAUGAACUGGGGUUAAACCGGUUAAAUUUUGACCUGACCACUUUAUCAGUUCAAUCACUGAUUCGAAUUUCAAAACAUUGGAUUAAUGAGAAAAAACUAACAUGUUCUCUUUUGGUCAUUCAAACUCAUCUUAGUGGUGGGCAUUCAUUAAAGCACUAUGAAAAGGCCACGUCAGCCAAAGAUUUUUUUUUCUUUUUUGAGAGUAAAACAAAGUUUUCAUUCGUUCAAAAAUAAUAAAUUACAACUUUGAUUAAUGAAACGGGAUGUCAUCCUACCCGAUAGUUCUACAUUCCAAACCAAGAGAAGUUAUGCUAAAAUAUGGGUUGGCAAAUUUCUAGUUCUACGUACAUGGAAGAUUUUACGUCCUUGAAACAUUUUACGAGCAUUCGGUCUUGUCUAACAGAUUGUCAAAAUAAAAAAAAAUCCACUUCAUUCGAAUUCAUUUUCUAAACAACAUUAAUAGCAUCACUUUCAAGAAUUAAAGUCUCAAUUCCCACUUCUUUUGCCCAUUCCAAACCUUUGAUGAUAGCUACAAUCUCACCAAAUUCUGGAGAUGUAGCUUUACCAAUUCUUUCCGCAAAGGCUGCCAUAAGUUGUCCUUCACUAUCUCUAACAAGAACACCAAUUCCUGCUUCCUUUAAAGUCUAUGUUGCAUUUACAUUAACCUUUCAAAAACCUUACUCUAGUGGAUGCUACCAUCUGGUGAAUUCAUUUGUGCUAGUCAUCUUACUAGUUUCUUGGCCUUGGAUAAACUCCAGUAAAUAUGAUUUUGCCUAUUCAACUAUCAUGUAGGGUUUCAGUAUCUUUCCUUCAAAUAUUAUGCUAUUUCUUGCAUAUCAGAUCAUCCACAUGAUGAUAACAAAGAGUUCUUUCUCCUUCUCUUCGCCUCUUCGCAAUAUCACCUGCAUUUUGUCUUUAAGACAUGAAGCAUUAACUACUCUAACAUCCAAACCUAGAUCAGCUAGGUCCCAAAUCUGUACAGAAAAACCAUGUUUAUUAGGUUGAGAGAAUGAAUUUUUUUUUUCAGAACGAUAAGUGAAGGUUGAGAGAAUGAAUACCAAAACCAAAUUUAAGUUUGGAUCCUUAAGGGCUGAGCAAGCCUUGGGGUAACAGCUAAAAUAGAGAACUUAGAUUCAAAUUCCCUUUUCCUCCUUCUAGCACUUAAAUCUCACAUUUCCCCGACUAGAAAAAAAUUAAAAGGAAAAAAGUGUGGAUGCUUGACAACAAAAAUUGAUUCUCGCUAUUCCGCCAGUAUUUAUCUUACUCCUUUCCUUUUUCUUUUGUCCCCUUCUUCUCUAGUUUCAUAUUCAUGUGCUUUGAUACUUUUUUCUCAAAAAAAAAAUCUUGUUCAAUUUUUCUAAUGCAAAAUCUGAUUUUGUUGUGAAUUUUAUUCAAAUAGGUAAGGGAAUGACUGUAGUUAAUAUCAUGGAAAAAUAGGAAAGGAAUAAGAGAGUGUAAGAAGAAUACAUGGAAACGUUUGAGUUGAUUGUCAAGGACAAUUUUGUCAUAAUUGCUUACGCAUUAACAGCGGCUGAAGUAAAAUAUUACAGAUAGUUUAAAAAGCUAAAAAAGGUAAACUUAGGAAAUAGGGGUGAAAAGGUAAAUUCAUAUUAUGGAUUUUUCAAAACUAGUUCAAAAGGAAACGAAGAAAGAUUGGGAAAUGUUAGAGGGCAGAACUUUGAUUAAGAUUUGUAAACUAGGGAAAAAAUUCAUCUUAAGAUAUAUUCAAAUUAAUGAGUUUUGAUUUGCCAAAGAGGUCUUGGUCUAUUGGCUAAUAUUGAGACCUCAAAACUUUUAGAGGUUUGAGUUCAAAUUCCUUCUUUCCUCUUCUUCACUUUUUAAAUUUCAUUUUUCCCUUACUAGAAAAUUUUUUUUUUUUGAAGCUCUCAACAGCUCUAGUCCAAGAAUUGAGCAGAGAUGCCUUGCUGAAGCCCAGAGAGUAGAGUAGCGAGUAUAAAUAUAACGUCCACUGCUCUAAGACUGGAUAUAUUUAUACAAAACACUUUAGGUAGCACCAAAUAAUUUCAAUCAUUUUGCUUAAACGGAAACAACGUUUAGGAUCCCUAGAUGCAAACACAAGCCAACAAAAUUAGACUAGAUAAAAAUCUUAUAAUUAAUAAAUCACUUAUCACUUCCUAAAAAUUAAAUUUGCUUUCUUUUGAUCUUUUCUUCAAUUAUUUGAGUACUUUGAUUUCUUAAACGUAUAUUUCCUUUGCAGUAGUCUUUCAUUUAAUGGCAGUGUAAGAUUUUGUUGAACAAAUUAAGAGGUUAUACAUGUGCUAUGAAUACUUUUGGUUCUCCUAUUUACCAUGUAAUUAAGAUAGAGGCAUCGAGCUGGAAAGAAUUUAUAAUCAGUACUUUUUUCUGGUACAAUACAUUUCUAGUCAACCAAGAAAAAAAAAAAAAAGAGUUGCUGAGGAGCAACUCGAAAACAUUAGAAAAUGAAAUUCACAGAAUAGCACAUUGAGUUCUCGAGUCUCAACCUUUUUGACACUUAUUUUUCUGCCGGGAAAGUUUAUUAAGCACCUGUAAUGAAAUUGUAGAGUUGAUAUUAGUCAUCAAUUUAUCAUGCUCCAGCACAAAUCUUUCUUCUCAAUUUUCACAUUGCCUUUUUUUCCCCCUCAAAGCCAAGCCAUAUUUACCAAAUUUAUUUCUAACUUCGAGUUCUUUAUAGCGAUUCAAGGAAAGAACAAGAAAUUAAAGAACCCGAAAAAAAUAAACGGUGUGAGGCAUAUUUUCAUGAAAAGUGUUUAGUGAAGAAAUCCUGCUGAAUUUGUUUAGUUACUAAACAUACGUGAAAGGUGGUGCUGUCAAAAUCUUCUUCAUCCAAAGCUAUGAGAAAGGAGUAAAAAAUUACAUUUUAUUGAAGUACCAAUCAUAAAGUUUCUAAUGAGGUAUUAAUCAAUGUGAUGAACCAAGUUAUACAGGAGAAAGAGCAACACAGCCACUAGUACAAGGCCCCAUUGGCUAAAUCCUUCAGAAAACAUUCCAUGAAGGGAAAGAAAAGCAGCAAAAAGAAGUAUACUUCCCCAUCCAUAUUCAUCUCUAUCUCUUUCAUGGUAUACUUGACCACUUCCUCGAAAUAAUUCAAAAGAAGGUAGAUAAAUACUAGAAAAAUAUAUGACCAGUAUGAGAACAAGAGGGCCAAGAAACAUCUUUGUUACUGCGUAAAUGAUCAGAACAAUUGCAAGAGGUAGCACUAAUGAUUGUGUGAUUUGAUAAACCAGAAGAAGAACUGCAACGGGGACGACCAAUAGCACAGUGAAGGCCGAGUUUUCAGCAUCUGAGGCUAGUGAAAUAUCAUCCAUCAGACUGCGACCAUGGAGGAGGAUUCCAAGAGUUGCCACUAGGAGAAAUGGGAUCAAUGGCGAUGGCCCUGUGGCCAUCUAGUUGUGAUACAAUGAUUAGUGAUGGUAUUAGAAGAAAAGUCACGAAGUCUUGAUAACCCUUGUAUGCUUAGAAAAUUUCCUUGGGAUAUAGAUAGCACAAUUUGCAAUUCUUGAUAUGGAGCAGAAGGAAGCAAUUGGCAGUUGCUUUGGAGGCAAGAUCUCUUAAGAUCCAUGCGUGUUGUAGGAAAAUUUAAGUUGAGUAUGUGAGGUAGUUAGUGGAAAGUGACAUUUAUGUCUUUAGAUAGAAGGGUUGAUCUGAGUUGCUUAUUCAGCUGAACAACUUGGUUAUGGUUUGGUGGUGCUAGUUCUCAAUAGUUAUGUUGCUUGUAUAACUUCAGCUAAAGAUGUAAUCUGAUAAAUGCAGAUGGUGACUUAAUUCAAGGAAAGAAGUACAUGAUUAUGAAGCUGAGAAAUAAAACAAGAAACAAGUUAAACAAUUCUCACCUCAAAACUAGGCAAGUUUUAGGAUUUAAAGUGAAGCAAAUCAAUCUUAAGCAACGCCUCUCUUACAAGAAAAGUAGUUAACCAAAAAAUGCAGCAAACAAAGAGGGAUAAGAGCUAUUUGAAGCCUUUCUUGUAAGACAAGUAGAUUAAGAUUACCUACAAUACUGAUUUUGAUUGUGCCUCACAUGUCAAGUGAGGUAAAAAAGAGUCAAAGACAGGAAGAAAAAUGAAAUCAUACUGAGGUCCAUGCUGCAAAAUUUGUCGCUUUCAUUAAGUAAACAUGUGAGCUUUGUAAGGCAUAAACUAUACAUAUAUCUUUUCAAUGGAUUGCAUGAAAAGAAUAAACCCAAAGUCAAGAAAUAAUUUAAGUGAUAUUGUUCAACCGCGCUAUGUACAAGAUCAAUCUUUUGAGUUGAGGUAUAAUGCAACAGGAAAGUUUGUGGAAACUUUAUAAGAACUCUGGCAAAAUUUUCCUAGCCUCUAAAAAGUUGAUGCAGUCUUUAGCAAUAAUAGUUUUAGUUUUUUUCCCCCCUUUUAAUCUCUCUUGAAGUAGCCACUUGAGCAUGUCUUGGGGGAUAUGAAAGUACCAAGUUCGGCUACUGUUGCAAUUCUCACUGGAUCGGUUAUUGCUGUAAUAUUGAUCAAUUUGAGGGGCGUUUGGUUAGGGGUGGGGUCGGUUUUAUGGUAAUUUUGAGGAAUUUUCGUGGCUUUUUAUUAGGAGUUUGGUCUGGCGGCAUUUGUUUGCUGAAUGGUUUUUGGGCAGAUAUGUGACAAGUAGGCAAUCAAUCCUCCGGUGGAUACCAAUCCAAAAAGAAGCAGUCUACUUUCUUUUUUUUUUUUUUUUUUAAUCGCAACGAUAAUACUUUUAUGACAUAAUCUAUCCUAUUUUAGAAAAAAGGGAAUCUAAAGAGAUGCAAUGAUAACAUUCACCAACCAAAAAAAAAUUUAAAAUUUAAUCUAUUCUAAUAUAUCUUAUUCUACAGAGAAGGGGAGUCUAAAGAGGCACGACGAUAACAUUCACUAACCAGAAAAGAAGCACUCUAAAAUUUAAUCUAUCCUAUUGUACAAGGAGGGGGAGUUUAAAGAAGUUGUAUAAGGAAUUAAUAAGUAUACAGAUUUAAUUAGAUCAAAAAUGUGUUCUGACACCUCCUUUGAAAUUCUUUUUACUAGAGAUGAGUUCCGAACCUCCGACCUAUAAUUCAAAUAGGGAUUUAAUCCCUUUUUGGUGACCAGUGAGCAAAGCUCACUUUGCCUCUUUCUUUCUCUCUUCUUUCUCCACCCCUCACCUCUCCACUGAUUACUUGGACCACAAAAUCACCUUGUGAGUUGCGACAUCAUCCUCCUCUCUCCCUUUCCCUUUUUCCUCUCUAUCUCUUUCCUUCUCCACUUUUGGUCCACUGCCCUGGGAAGAGGGGCAGGAACGGUUGUAGGAAGUAAUCGUUCUGAAAGGUUGAUGGCCAAGAUUUGACUAAAAAAAUAUAAGGUUCAGAUUGCAUCAUGUACAUCGUUUUUUACACUAUAUGUGGAACCUAUAAAAUUUUGUUCUAUAAUUACACAUUAUUGAAAGUGAGUUACACUAUGUGCAUACAAAGUUAAAUCUUGUGCAUUUUACACAAAACCAAUCAGAAUAGUUUUUCUAAUGACUGUUCAGGCCCCAUGUCCCUUGCCCUGCUUCAACACAAUUUGGCCCCCACCCUACCUUUCGGUGCACUGUCGGACAAGGGGCCAGAACGGUUACCAGGAAAACCAUUCGGGACGGUUUUGUGCAAAAUGCACACGGCGUAACUUUGUUUGCACAUGGUAGAACUCACUUUCAACAAUGUAUAGCUAUAUAACAAAAUUUGAUGGGCCCUACACAUGGUAUGAAAAACGAGGAACAAGAUAAAAUUUAGACCUUACACUUUUUUUGGCCAAAUCUUGGCCAUGAACUUUUAGGAACGGUUGCCGUUCCUGCCCCGCUCCAGCACAAUUUGGCCCCCAACCCACCAUUCUCUAACUCUUAACCUAAUCUUUUCCUCCACUGUCACUCCUACUCUAGAGCAUUUUAUUAGCCACGGCAGGCUUUCUCUGAGGGGCGAAGCCAAGACCCCACAUUAAGUGGGGUCAAAUUUUAGUACAAUAAAACUUAUUUAUUUACAAAAAAUAAAACUAUUAACCCUACAUACAAGUUAAAAUUGUACUAUGCCGGCACUCAUUUUUUUUUAAAACGCUACAAAAUCAAUUCAUUAUCAAUUUUGUUAAAUAUAUCUUUUUUAAUGUAACUAAAUGAACCUCUUGAUUUUUUUAAAAAUAAUUUACGAAUCUUAACCUUCUACGAAUUUCUUUUAAGAAAUUCAUCUUUACUGUAUUAUAAAUAAAAAUUGUAAUUACUUAAUUUCUUAUUAUAAAUAAAAAAUUUAUCAUCCACUUGAAAAAUUUUUGUUUGUGGAAACUUUGAAGUUCGAAGUAUUGGUUUUCUCACUCCACUCAAAAAAGUUAACCCCUUGUUUUUCGAAACUUUGAAUAAAUUUAUUCUUGAACUAACUUCCAUAAAUAACUUGAAAUAAAUUCAAAAUUAUUGUGAUAAUAAGAAUAAUGAAAUUUCAAUUGUUUGGGGUCGAUGUAUAUAGAAAAGAGAAUUUAAUAAAAUUUAGUUAGGUCAAAUAAAAUGCAACUUUAAAAUUUUCUAAAUUACCUAAACCUAGAAACUAAUUUUCCAAAAUUGACUCCACUUGCUUGCAUGCGGCUCCGCCACCUUUCUCUUUUGUGGUGGACCUAAGGCUACCUGAAUUUCUGUCUUUUCCAUUUAUGCCCGUUUAUUUGCAAGGUACGCAGGGAGGGGAUAGAUGGGCUUUCUCUGUUAAACCAAUCGGCGGAUGGUCCAGCAUAAAACAAAAGGUUUUAGAGAGGUUUCACUGUUUACUAUUGAUGAGCUAUUUUUGUAUAUCUAAUCUUCAUUUUGAACGCUGAAUUUUGAUUCCUUGUUUGCUACUAUCGCUCUUUGUUUUUGUUACAAUUAUCUUCUGCUGAAUAUGAAUUUCGCUGAUGUAGUUGUUUAAGAGUACUUAUAUAUAUAUAUAUUAUUAUUAUUCUUGUAGCUUCUUGGUUGUAAGAUCGAAGAUUUUGGUCUACUAAUUACUGUGCAUGUUAGCUGUUUGUUUUGAAUAUUAAGCAUACUUUCGCUUGAUUGUUCUUAGGUUCUAGCCGGUAGGUAUAUUGGUGCAAGCCCCAGCAAAUUUUAAGCAUUUGGACAUCUUUCCCAGUAGGCGUUAGUUGAUUAUUUGACACUUGGCACCCUUCGCUUGCGCAUAAGCGUAGGAGCUGCCUCUUCCUUCACAAGUGCUUCGUAUACACCCACUCCUUGCCUUCUUCCUCCUCUACCAUCUCAUGUUCUUGGUGGUUAAAAUCAUUUGCCACUGUUCAAUACUGCUCGAUCCCUUUCUCUUCCUGGCUACCAUCUUUUGUGAGUUUGGGGUUUGGAAAAGUACAUCUUGUCUACGAAGGCAGUUUUGCCAGAGAUAUGAAUUGCCUAUGGAAUUAUGCAGCUUUAAGAAUAAGUGCCUAAAAAUGACCAUCUAAACACAUGCUGAAGCUUUACCUGUGUGUGAUUAGAUGAAUCUUUAAUCCCAUGUACCUGUAUGUAAUUGAUUGAAUGUCUAAUCCCAUGAUUUGUGUUCUGACCAAUUUAUGCGCUAAAGUAUUUUGGUAUGAUCUAUGCAGGGUUUGAAAAAUCUCAAAGUGCAUGUGCUUCAAGCUGCCUUUGGUGAUUCAGUGAUUCUUACUUGACCUUCAAAAUUGGUAAUUAAAUUUGCCAAAUUGUGUAAUUUAUUGCGAUAUGUUUCUGAAAUCUGAAAUUUUUUUAAUGCUAAAGCUUAUUUGGUUUUCAGUUUCGAAACUGAUAUUAUCAACCUAUGGCUUUAUACUUCACAUGCAUAUAACUAUCAUCUGGAUUUUGGAUUAUCUUAGAUAUGUCAUAUAGAGUUAUCUUAGGCAUGAAACUUCCAUCAAUUGAUAAUUUCUUUCUUAUGGUGAAAAGUUAUAUUGAUGUGCAGUAUUUUGUGUUAAGAAUUAAGAUGUCGAGAGGACAAUACUCUUCAAGUUGGCACCAUUUUGGAUGAAAUAAUGAUUUUAGCUGUAUAAUAUAUGGUAUCAUCAUAUAUUUAUCCCAAACACAAGUUCCAAGAAUAUGACAUUUUAAAUGAAAAUUUGAAGGAUUGAUUAAAAGCAAUGAAUGCCAACGUAAGAUGUUGGACAAAAAUCCUCACGGUAAAUACAGGCCCCGUUUGAUAAAUGAGUUUUUUGAGUGUUUGUCUAAAACUUUUCUAAAAUUUUACUGUAAUUUACUGUAGAAGUUGCAGAAAUUUUUUUUAAAAUAUAUAAAUUUUUAGAUAUUUUAAAGUGUAUAGUUUAAAAACUUUGAAAAGUUUUUUUGAAGUUACUGUAGCUAAAACUAUUAAAAAACUUAUAGCAGACAAACUUGGCCAAAAACUUGCUUGUCAAACAAGGCCAUAGUAAAUCAAAAACAGUAGUUGUAAGCAUUGGAAUUGAAUCCAUGUCUUUUCCACUAAUAAGUCUUUUUCAAUACUUUCUAUAGCCAAGAAUGAAAGUUAAUGAAAUUUAAUUGGGGGGGAGGGGGGGUGGAAUUUGAGUCUUGGCUGUUUGACAUCAUACAAAAUAUUGUUAGUUUUGCCAUGAAUUUUGUGCAUAAUUGUUUUGCUUAAAAUAGGCCAAAAAGAAUGUGGAUCUUUUUCAAAUGGUGAGUAUCUUGUGCAAAUUACAACAGCAAACAAGAUUGUAGUAUUACAUACUUCUCAAGUGGAAUACAACAGCAAACAAUAGGCCAUUUGAAAAGAAUGACGCAGUAAAGAGUAUGCGUGGAAACAUUGGAACUACCGAACCAAUGACUUGAACAUUUUGUGUCUCAAGUGCCCAAGUUAGAGUUUCUUGUUUUAAAAUUGUGGAUUUGCAUAGUUUUGGUUUGAAAUACCGAAGGGUUGUCAGUUGAUUGAAUCACAAUUAAGAUGCUGUUUUUUUUUCUUUCCCUUUUUUGCCAGAUAGUUGAACAUAAAAUUUGUAUUCAAAAAUUUGUGCAAGUUAACGACUGUAUCUUGAAUAAUCUAAUAACCUUUUUUGCAAUUUAAACUCAGGUCAACACUUUUUUUUGUGACUUGGAGUGCAAUUUGAGGCAGCAGAGAACAGGGGAAACUUGUUCAGUACUAGAAUUUGAUUAGCACUGGAACCUUGAACUUUGAACAGCUGAUUCUUGAAGUAACCGAUCAUGUGCUUACUAGUUAGUGAUUUCGAUUUCAAAUAGCUCGAUGUACUAUGGAUAAAGAGAGUUUAUAAUCAAUCGGUUUGUUUGGAUUGUGAAUUAUUAGAGAUAUUUUUACUGUAGCACUUUUUGUGAUGUGAUGUAUGUGAGAUAAAAAGGUGUGUUGAAAAUUGUAAUGAUAAUGUAAGCAAAUAUAUUUUGGCAAAUAAAUCGCAAUCCAAACAAACCAAUAUAUGUUGCUAAUAUUACAUGUUUUCUCUUUGAUUCUAUUAAAAAUAGAACCUGGGCAUGCUCGUACAAAGGGUGAUGAGGCCCAAAAAAACUAGUAAAUGCAAAAAAGCAACUUGAGCUUUAACAAGCAAAAACAGUUUUAAUUCGUUACAAUCUAAGGAAGACCGAUCUUGAGCGAACCAUAUUUGAUUAAUAGCCAAGACUUUAUGUCAGAUUUCCCCAAGAUCUAUUCCAAAAAGGUACAUUAGCAAAGUUUUCAUGAAAUCCCUUAUUCGAUUUUCAAGUUCUACCUUGCCCCUUUCCCCAAAAAAAAAUCCCACUUGUUGCUCAUGCAUUUCAUCUUUAAUUCGUGUAAGCAUCAGUUAUUUGAUAUGUCACAUUCGCAUAUUUCCAUAUUGUUUAUAGAUGUUGAGUAAACCUGUACACAAGUCUGAUUUCGUUGGCAAUUUAACACAACAAGCUCAAACCCAUUUUUUAUUUUUUAUUUAAACCCAAAUCCAGUUAAAAUCUGAGCCUACUGCAGAUCAAGUCAUUUUCAUAUAAAUUUUCAUAUAACAUAUGGAUACAACUCAACAUUCUAGCGUGCAAGCGCUAGAAUUCAUAGAAGAUCAGGAAUUUUGGAUUCCUCAGUGUUAGGGUACACUGGUUGUAAAGUUCUUUCAAGUUUUUACUUGAAUCUGUAUAGGUUUAUUAUCUAUAAAAUCACCUAAUGUUUCGGCAAAAAAAAAUAUUUGAAACUGACUCAAAAACACCUUAUUUAGGGUGCUAAAGCCCUUCUUGAUGUUUUUGAGAUUACAUCAUCCCUCUCUUGAGACAAUAUUCCUUUUUAUUGCACCAAUAACAUGUCAAAGACAACUCUGGCUUUUCAUUGAGCAAAUGUUUAAAUUAUCGUUUCCAAUGAAGCUAUAUUUUGACCCUUAAGAAAGCAAAUGAUUAGCAUUGGCUGCUAUGUUUUAGCAGAUUGACCUCUUUGCUUGAUUCAAUUCAAGCCAUUUGUUAUCAAACUGCUAAAAGGCUUUGCCACAUAACCUAAUAUUCGACACUGCCUAAUGGAGUUUGUUGGAUAGUUACACUGGAAAACUGGAAACAACCUUUAUAGAUGACAGCAUUUGAAACUAUAAAUGCAGUUGCAAAAUUACUCAUUUAACUCACUCAAUAACAUAGUACUCCUCGGUACAUGACAUCCAGCAGGUUGGUAAUAAGUGCCACUAUAUUCUUCAUAGACGCUAACCUCAACCUGCUAUGAAGUCACUGAGUUCCUGUCAUGAAGCCUAAGCAAAACAAGAUGGCAGACAUUAACAAUUCACGGAUAUUCUCUCUGAACUUGAGCAAUAUAAAAAUGCACAGCAGAUCCAAGUUUAUAGAGUUAUUUCCUACUAGCAGUGCCAUGCUCCUAGGACUAAGUGUUUCAGCAAUCCAAGAAGAUAUGGCAUUCCUACUAACAUGCUCCAUUGAAAUAAUUCUACCACCAAUCCAAGGAACAACUUUAAGAACCCAGUCUCCACUUUUCAUAACAAUAGGAGUCCUUGAGAGCCCUACACCUUUGUGUCCGCAUCUGGUGUCUUUUUAGCACUCUCUGCAAAUGUAACAACGAAUAUCAGAAAUCACAUCGCAGUAGAAGAUAUUCACAACUACAUUUAAAAAUUUAUGUUUCAAUACCUAUCAGGCCAAUCAGAAUGUAGCAAACAAUAAUUUCGGCUUCUCAUACCAAAAUAUGAAAAAGUGGCAUUAACUAUCUCAUUGUUAUUUUGUUAAAUGAAAGACACAGAAAGUAAUUAACAAAUGCAUAAUGACUUGUAAUGAUUUGCACAUGAUAUGCAUAGAUCUUGAUUACCUAUGUCAUAUAGACAUGCAAGUGUGUUACAGCACAUACAUAUCUACUUAUUAAUUCUCAAAUUUGUUUGCAUGCUUUUUUUUCUUUCUUUGCUUUUGGCAAAACCGUGUAGAACUGCCUGACUGUUGUAUUCAAAGGUUAACAUGUUUCCCAUGUGUAUGAUCUGGAAAUAAGCAAAGAAACUGUUUUAAUGGAGAGUAACAUCAGACAGAAUACUAUACGAUUUUAAAGAAGGUCCAUACAGAAUUAAAGGUUGUCAUGCCUAUUCAUCUAUGUCUGAAACUGGAAAAAAAACCUAUAUCUAAAACUGAUGAAAAAAAUGUCAAUCAUUUGAUUUCUCGUAUUUCCUACAGACCAAUUAUGAACUUAUAAUAUGGGUGGUGCAAAGCUGUCAGCUUUUCAGGAGACACUUUUUGUGUUUCUUGUACUUCCAUCUGAGUUUUUUCCAUGGUUGAUGAUGUUAAUCAGGUACACAAGUCAAACUUAGUCAGAGAUUCUCAUUCUAAAGAAGGUGGUUUUAAAAGGAGAAGAGUUUAGAGGUAGAGGAGACCAAGAGAUUGUCUUAAUGGUAAAGGUGGCAAUUCCGCUCAUAGCAGAGGAUCAUAAAGUUCAAACGCUAAGCUGGACAAUCAUGCAAAGGUCAAAUGUCAAAAUAGGCUAGCAAUUAGUAGAAUCAUUCAGCAAAUUGUUUGGCCAUGCUAGCAGCUAUCCAGUUGUCACAAGCUUGGAAUGAUGUAUAAGCACCAGCAUGUGUGUUAGUGAUAAACUAAUAGGAAUAUUAUGGUACAUUUGGUCAUUUUAAUCUCCUUUACUUCUUUUAUGGAAUAUAAGAUUAAGGUUGUCAAAUAGCUCAGUGAAUGCAUUUAUCAUAGAUGAUAAACAAGCAGUCCAAGCCAUAAAACUACUCAUGACAAAAUAUGAAUGAAUAAAUAUAAAGAAGAAAGAAUUAGGAUAUUACCCAUGCAAUUUUUGUGCUGUUUUUCACUUGCUAAUACCAUAUUUGACACUUCACUUUGUGAAGGCAACAUAAUUUGGAUAGCUUCUCCAUCGGUGCCCCAUACUUCAAGCUGCUUGAACACGCAAAUACACGAUGAAUUUUCUAAAAGUAUUCAAGAUUGAAGAGAUCCUAGCAACAUGACAUGGCAAAUUUGAGUUCAACAGGAAGGAUACGCACCAGAGCACAUUUACCAAGCAAUAACUUCACUUGUAAGCGGCGGUUUGGCCUUUUCCACAAGCCAUCGGUUUUGGAAACACGAACUGUGACAACUGAUGACCGGAGUUCAGCAACAUAUGUUGUCGAAAGAUAUCCACCUUUAGUAUACUCAUGGCCAUCUCCAGCAUCCUCAAAGAGGACACCUUCUGCUUUACCUGAAAUUUUCAAAGAGUAGGUCUCAGCUGCAAAUUCCACUUGUCACAGCAUCCACUAUUACAGACAGUAUUAUGUUUGAUUAAUCUAAGAAGAUUGAAAUGGAUGACCAGAAGAAGAUAUAGCUCCUGAAAGAUCGCCACCACAUAUAGUGCUUGAGCUAUAAAACCUCAUUUUUCAGAUUCUUUGAUUAAAACCUUCAGAAAAGCAAAAAUGGGAUUCCAUUCCUUGUUAAGUAGUUGGCAAAUCAUCCUUCACCAAUCCUUUAUGUGCUAGGUCUAGAUUGACCAGUCAUUUAGUUCAAAUUGUAAAGAUUCUAGGGUUGUCAAGGUUUCAUCAACUUCUGCUUCAAUGUCAAUUCUCAAUUUCAAUAGAGCAACAGUUUACUUCCUUCAUAGAAGAAAUCCACAUUACCAUCAGAUGCAAUAAACUUUCAUAAUUUAAUUCCAGUGAUACAUGCACAAAAUAUGUGUCUGCAAUUUGGAGAAACAAUUACAGGAAAGAAAAGGAAAUUGAGAAGAAAAUGAAAGUGAGAAAGAAAAUUGGAAGCCAUUUGCAAGUUGACAUUAGGAAGUUGUGGAAAUUUAUACUAGCCAUAAUCGCAUUGGCAAAAAGUAUGAACAAGUGUUACACCAGGAGCGAUUUUCAUCCUUUAUUAAGUAGUAACGAUGUGCAAUAUCUUCACUAUACAUAAAGCGGGAGUAAGGGGCAUUUAGUGUCAAAUUGUGUGUCAUUAUUUAGAUUUUCACUUUUGCCUCAGUCAAUGUUUAUUACUGCAAAUCUACCAAGGAUAAACCAUUAUCUCAUAAUAAGUCCCAAUAACUUCCAUACUUUUUUCUUUUUUUAAUCAAAAUUUUCCUUUUUUGCACACAGGGUGUGCCUUUCUUACUAGUAAAACAUGAUAUUUCUUUCUCAAUCAAAAAUUUUGGCGGAUACGGUAAGAACCUUCAAAGAGAAAAGGAAAAUCAGGUCAGAGGAUAAUUAGACCAUAAAAGGUUCCCUUAUUAUCAUGAAGACUACAAGUGAAUGGGACAAUGCAAAGGAACAACCACACAACUAGAAGAUGCUGCAGUGUGUCCUUAAUGUAUGUUCUUCACCAAUAAGCUCUCCCAUAAGAAUAAAAAUUGUCACAAAAAAAAAAAAAUCUUAAUGGGAGAAAGAUAGAAUCUUGACUGUUUUAUAGUGGACACAAAUUCAAUCCAUUUGCAGUGUUCAGUUCUUGUCUACAAAAAUAAAUGAACCCAAAGAUUGCCUCCUCUGCAAUUGAGCUAAACUACUUUAUAUUACUUUUCUGACAAAUCUAAGGGACAUAGAACUACUUAUCUUAACCCAUUACUCUGGACUCUAAGAAUCUGUAAUGGAAUCAAUAGAUAAAUAAUUACAUCUGCCACAGGUAACCGUAAAAUAAAUCCAUCUCCAAUUUUUAACAUACAAUAAUUUCGAAAACCCUAGGUUUUGAAGAACCAAUUCUCUGCAAUUAAAAGAACUACCAUAUUGAAGGAAUAGAAAAGAAAUCUAAGCUGCUUCACAGCUCAUUCUAAAUAGCUGGAUAGUCUGGGAGAACACCCAGGAGGGAGAACAAAAUGAGAAACUGCUCAACUUUUCAAAGUUUCCAACUUCACUAAGAACGUGAAACUGAGACAUGGACAGCAUUAAAAGUCCAUGUCGAAGCUACUCUUGUUUGAGGUGGCAAAUCAAGAAAUUUUGAAAUUCAAGUAUACCACUAUCUAUAAGAGCAUAAUAAAAUAGACCAACUAAAUAAUUAGUUCUAAGAAUUGUAUUUGGCAAAAUCUUUUUCACGCGUUGCACAUUACCAUGUUCAUCUAAGGCGACAAAAAGGCACAAGUCAUCUGUAGGAUUAGCUUCACCAACAUGUUGAUAUGGAGGACCAACAGGGAUGAUUGAUCCACCUUUUAGAUACAAUGCCGGUAAGUCCUAAUAAAACCAUGAAGUAAUGAAACAAGUGUUGAGUCAAAGCAUCACACAGCAGCAAAAGGCCAAGCAUGUUUCAGAUGACAAGCAACAAAUACCGGAUGUGAAUCUUCGAAGUCAAAACUCAUCCAAAUGCCUUUAGGCAACCCUGGCUGUGUAUGAUCUAAUUCAUUAUCACGUUGAGUGCUGCAUGAAAUCAACUUCAACGUUAGAAAUUGUUUUACAAUUAAGCUAAAGAACAGUGUAAUUGACAAACAUUACAAUUAAAGAAGAGAAGGUAAAGGACGAUGAAUAUAGAACACUUAUUAAUGCAGUCCUUCUCUUAAAGAAGUAAACUUUGAGCACUGAAAGAAAGGCAUGCCUCAGCUAGAUAUUAUUAGAGGGAUAAGCAUAAUUAAACUGUAUUUCCAAAAAGAAGAAACCUGAAGGAUCAACAAGUGGUAAUGAAUUCAUUAGUAGUUCCAUUUUAAUUUCCCAACCAGUCAAGUCCACCUUUAAACUCUAGCAUUGCCAAGGCUGGUUGCAGCUCUUAUCCUUAUUUCACUGACCACAUGCUUAAUUCACAACCUUACCAAAGGCAAAACCUAUUUUCCCAUAAUUCCCAAUCCAUUUCUUCUUUUUGACUAAGCAAGCUCUUAUGCAUGGUAUGAAGCAUUAGAAGUUUUCAUAGUUUUUAGCUCCACACAUUCAGUAAGUUCCUUCAGUCACUAAUUUCCAGAGUUAUGGAUAUGCAAUUAUAAGCUGAGCCAAUUACAAGAAACACAAUGACUACAAGAAAGUAAAGACAAUUGUACAACCACAUAGUACAGCAACUGUGAAGUAAUUAAAAGAAAACCUUGCACAUAUGAGAAGAGGCCCCAGCAUAAAUGAAUCUUCACGGGUUCUUAGCUUGGGGUCUUCUGGAUCUGCACAUAGAAUGCAAGAAUUUAUGGCUCAGAAGACUUAGGAGAAUAAAUAUUUUACUUACAUGAGGACGAAAUAACUGAUCAUAACAAGAAUUUACCAGCAAAAAGAAUGGGAGUUGCCACAGGUAUACCCUUUGUGUGAGCCACAUAAAACAAGGUGUAAAUAUGUGGCAAAAGGCGGUAUCUUCUCUUUAAUGCUAGACGGCAAACUUCUUCGCACUGUGAGAGUAAAAAGUUCACCAGAAAACACGGUAAGUAUUAGAGAUUCCUAAACUCAACAUAAAAAAAACAAACUGAAUUCAGGAUUGGCAAGCAAGUAGCGUUUGUAUAGGUUCAAAAUGCAUUCUCCGCAUAUAAGUUAACUCCUUGGUAAAAAAAGUCAAAAUCUAACUGGACUGAGAAACAGAUUGAGUAUAUGCAUCCUUUUUCUUUUAAUCAGUCUUUGCUCCCAAUAUAUUUCACUUCCCACCAGAAUACAGAAGGAUACUCCUCAAAAGAAUAAGAGUCUACCACGUCUUCAACAUAAUUUCACACGGUCACCACCAGGUCUGUCAUUAAUCAGCUUCUACUUUUAUCAUGCUCGUUAUCUUUCAUCUUUUUCUUACAUAAUAUAUGCUUGGUAUAUUUACUGCAGCUGGGGUAGUAAUCCAUGUCCAAUUGAAAAAUGAUAAGAUUCUUACAGUUUUGGAACACCAACUAUUCAAAGUGUCUACAACCACGUUAUGGAAAAGAUCUGUGCUCUCAGUCAUAAAUGUAAGAAAUUAGGCCAGGGCUAAUUCAACAAAUAUUAAAAAAUGCCCAUGUAGAAAGAUCUAAGUAUACCAGAAUGAAUAAAUCAUAGUCCUGAAGUCUUAAAAGAGCUAAUGGAGCCCUUAUUUCACAACAGAAUAAAAGGAAAAUUCUUAUUUUGGCAGAGAUUCAAUAGUAUCAUUCUAAGAAGCAAGCCAGCUGUCAAAUGCUUCAAAUGAGAAGAAAAUAAUGGUAAAUUCAACAACAUAUUCAUUCAUAGGGCACUGAAAAAUGCAUAAAAUUGACCUAAAAAUUGAACAAAAACUCACACUAAACCUUGCCAAAGUAAAUUGAGUACUGAAAAUAUCAAGCAAGGACAAACUUCACCAAAAGACCAAAGGGCACUGAAAAAUGCACAAAUGCCCUAAAAAUUGAAUGAAUACUCACACGUAAACCUUGCUAAAGCAAAUAGAGUUCUGGAGAUAUCAAGCAAGGACAAACCUCUUCACCAAAAGACCAAGGUUCGUGAUUGUUGGUAUCAUCCUCAGAAUGCCCACGACAGAAUGGAAACAAGGACCCAACACCCAUCCACCUUCCAAAGAGUUUCGGCGUUGCAUUACCACCAAAUCCACCAAUAUCUGGCCCUGAAAGUGGCUGACCACUGAGCCCCUGUAUUUUAGGUUGCCUUAGGUAUAGCAGUUAAACAUAAUAAGACAAAUAAAUAUCACCACUUUUGACUGAAAAGAAAUAUAAAAAUACAAUCAGCAUCAGCUAAUCCAGAACAAAGAGAAAGGCAGUAACAUUCUUUGAACUUCACUCCAUAAUCACAAAGGAUAAAACAAUAGUCUGAGUUUUAGAAGGGAACUAAGUAUUACACAUAUAUUCAUAAAGCCAGCUAUUGAUGAUUUAUUUAACAUAGUAUCUGUAUUGAAUACAUGUUAUUAUUUCAAGGAUGAGUAUUCAUAAAAGGAGCAGCAGUAUUGAAUGGUACAUAAUUUUUUUCUCUCCAGCAAACAAGAGGACAUUUGAAGAUAGAACCACUCCAUGACACAAGUUAUAAAAAAAACAAAAGGAGCUUUCAUCUAGUAAAAAAAAAUGGAACAGUGUCAUUUAGAAGAAUAACAAACUUAUGUUAAAUCUCCAACAUACAAGGUCAUUUGAAACUAUAACUGGUAGGAGUGACAUCUUGGUCCAGAUCUAAAGGUUGUCUAGUUCAGAUGAUUUAUAAAUUUUAAAAAUCAGAAUACAGCUCACACUAAACUGGAAAUGAAAUAUAAGCACACAUAUUCUUUGGCAAAUGGAUUAAGUUGACCACUAAGUUGCAGGAUUAUGCAUACGUGCAUGCCUAUGUCUAAUUCUACUUAGCUAGAAUGGAAUAGAAUGGUAGGGCGCUGAGACUGUUGAAGAUAUGUGAUUAUAGAAAGAUUUGCUAUUGUAAAUAUUAGGAAAGAUCAGAUUUAAUUUGUUUUGAUUAUUGUAUCAGAUAUUAAUUAGGUAAUAGAUUAAUUUAGGCUAGCAUGAUUUUAGGAUCUAAAUUAGGUUACACUUGCGUAUAUAUAUAUUUGUACAUUGUGUAGUCCAAAAAUAUGAAAAAGAGUAUUUUCUUUCCCUUUUUCCUUAGUUUUCAUGGUAUCAGGGCUUUAGACUCUGUUAUCAGUUUGUUUUUUGACGUGAUCCUAUUGAGUCACUUUAGUUCUUUCUUGUGUGAAUUAUAAUGGCAGAUAUGAAAGAUAGUAGUAGAGAGAUGAAAACAGUAAUUUCUGAUUGUUAAUAAGUAUUUUGGGAGGAAAACAUCUAGUCACUGUAUUAUGAGUGACCAACUAGUAUUUAUAAGAGUACAAACCUAACAAACUAUUUACAAGAAUACCCUUACUAAUUUAUUAUCUACAAGAAUACUUAUAUUCUCUUAACACUCCUCCUCAAGUUGGAGCAUAUAUAUCAUAAGCACCCAACUUGUUACAAAUGUAUUUCACCCUAGAGCCCCCUAAACUCUUGGUAAACACAUCAGCCAAUUUGAUCUACAAACGGUACAUGAGAUGUUUUGAUGACCCCGUCAAGCAAUUUCUCUCGAAUGAAAUGACAAUCAAUUUCAAUAUGUUUUGUCCUUUCAUGAAACACUGGAUUAGACGCAAUAUGAACAGCCGUCUGAUUAUCACACACUAAAUUCAUAGACUGUUUAUGCUCAAACUCAAGUUCAAGUAACAUGCUCUUCAACCAAACCAACUCACACACAGUGUGAGCCAUAACGCGGUAUUCAGAUUCUGCACUUGAUCUGGAUACAACUGUUUGCUUCUUACUCUUCCACGACACUAAAUUACCACCAACAAACACACAAUAUCCUGUAAUCGAUCUUCGAUCUGAGGCAGAAUCAGCCCAAUCUGCAUCACUAUAUCCUUCAAUAUCAGUGUGUCCAUGAUUUUGAUACAGCAACCCUUUUCCAAGAGCACUCUUAAGAUACCUGAGAAUCCGUAUAACAGCAUCCCAAUGACUAGUACGAGGGGUAUCAAGAAAUUGACUCACAACACUCACUGCAAACAAAAUGUCAGGUCUCGUUACAGUGAGAUAAUUUAUUUUACCCACAAGUUUUCGAUAUUGCUUAGGAUCAUCAAGUAAUGCACCUUGAUCUCCUGUUAAUUUCACAUUGGGAUCCAUAGGAGUAUCCACAGAUCGGCAACCUAACAUCUCAACUUCACUCAACAUAUCGAAUACAUAUUUUCUUUGACAUAAAUAAAUUCCAUAUUUAGAUCGAGCUACCUCAAUACUCAGAAAAUACUGUAGAUGACCUAAAUCCUUUGUCUGAAAGUUUGCCUGUAGAUUGGAUUUAAGUUUCUGGAUCCCUACAACAUCAUCACAUGUAAUCACAAUAUCAUCCACAUAAACAACUAAUAAAAUUUUACCAGCAUUAGAAUGUCGAUAAAAUACAAAGUGAUCUACUCCACAUCUUGUCAGACCGAACUCCAUGACAACACUACUAAACCGGCCAAACCAAGCCCUCGGAGACUGUUUCAAUCCAUAUAAGGAUUUUUUCAAACGACAAAUCAAUCGUGGAUUCUCCCCCUGAACAACAAAUCCAGGAAAUUGUUCCAUAUAUACCUCUUCUUCCAAAUCUCCAUGCAGAAAUGCAUUUUUCACAUCCAACUGAUGCAAUGGCCAAUUAUAAGUUGCUGCCAAAGAGAUAAGAAGACGAACAUAGGUAAUCUUUGCAACAGGAGAAAAUGUUUCUAAGUAGUCUACUCCAUACACCUGAGUAAAUCUUCUAACUACCAGACGAGCCUUCAAUCUAUCAAUAGAACCAUUAGACUGUACUUUUAUAGUGUACACCCAUUUACAACCAACAACAGGCUUACCUGAAGGACGAGGGACAAUAUCCCAAGUACCAUUUUGUUCCAAAAUAGACAUCUCUUCUUGCAUAGCUAAUCUCCAACCAGGAUGAUUAAGAGUAUAGGUAAUAGACUUAGAAAUGGAGAUAGAAUCAAGAGAAGCAACAAAAGAAGAAUAUGACAUAGAGAGACGAGAAUAAGAAACAAAAUUAAAAAUAGGAUGGGAAGUACAAUGUCUCUUACCUUUGCGUAAAACAAUAGGAAGAUUUAACUCAGAGGAGGGCGUCAUACCUGAAUUUGAAAAUUGAGAGUUAAUUGGUGAAGUGCGUGGCAUAUCAGGAACUUUCUCAACCAUGGAACGACGAGAGUAAACUUGAAGAUGAGGAUGAGAUAAUCGAGUUAUGAAAUCUGGUGGACUAGAUAACUUAGGUAAUAAAGGGGAAGGGACUGGUAAAACAGGAGAGGAAAAAGAGGAACACUAGUCUAACUCACAAGGCAUACUUUGUUUGAUAAAAUAUGGAGUGGAUUCAAAGAAAGUAACAUCAGCACAAGUAAAAAAUCGAUUUAAAAUUGGACUGUAACAUCUAUACCCUUUUUGCGCUUGUGCGUAUCUUAAGAAAAUACACUUAAUAGCACAAGAAUCUAAUUUAUCCACCCCGAGAGCAAGCUGAUGAACAAAACACACACAUCCAAAAAUACGAGGAGGCAAUUUAAACACAGAUUCAUGAGGAAAAAGAAUGAAAUGAGGUAAUUGACCUCCAAGAAUAUUAGAUGGCAUGCGAUUAAUUAAAUAACAUGGAAUUAGAACUGCAUCACUCCAAAAUUGUUUGGGCACAUUCAUGUGCAACAACAGUGUUCGAGCAAUUUCGAUUAAAUGUCCAAUUUUUCUUUCAGCAACUCCAUUCUGUUGUGGAGUGUGAGGACAAAAGGAUUGAUGAAUAAUACCAGACUUAGUCAUAAAGGUAUUAAAAGGAAUGAAAAAAUAUUCUUUCGCAUUAUCACUGUAAAGUAUAUGUACAGGCACACCAAAUUGAUUCUUUAUUUCUGUAACAAAUGCACAAAAAAUGGAAUAUAAUUCUGAACGAUCUUUCAUUAAAUAAAACCAUGUAACUCUGGAAAAAUCAUCAACAAAAACUACAAAAUAUUUAAAACCUAACUUUGAAGUGACUCGACUAGGAACCCAAACAUCAGAAUGAACUAACAGAAAGGGUUCAGAAACCCGUUUAUUGACUCUAGGAGCAAAAGAAACAUGAUGAUGCUUUCCUAAUUGAUAAAACUCACAUUCUAACGAAGAUAAUUGAUUCAAAGUAGGAACCAACUUUUUCAAAUUUUGUAAAGACGGAUGACCUAAACGACUGUGAAUUUCAAGAGGAGAAACAGUAGCAGGACAAAACAUAUUGAAGUUGAGAAACUAAAAACCAUUAUGCUCAUGCCCUCCACCAAUCGUUCUCUUUGUCUUCAAAUCCUGAAUGACAACAGAAUCAGGAGAAAAAGUAACUGUACACUGUAGAAAUUUAGUGAACUUACUAACAGACAUUAGAUUAAAGGGCAAAUUGGGUACGUAAAGAACAGAAGACAGCGGAAGUGAUGGAUUAAUUUCUACAGUGCCUAGUCCUUUAACUUUAGUGGUAGCUCCAUCAGCUAAAAUAACAUGAGGAAAGGGAGUAGACUCUUGAAAAUUAGAAAUCCUAACCCUAGGACUUUUGCUCUGAUACCAUGUUAAAAGGUAUUUUGGGAGGAAAACAUCUAGUCACUGUAUUAUGAGUGACCAACUAGUAUUUAUAGGAGUACAAACCUAACAAGCUAUUUACAAGAAUACCCUUACUAAUUUAUUAUUUAAAAGAAUACUUAUAUUCUCUUAACACUGAUGUUAUUCCUAUAACAUCAAAGAUUACUGAACACAAACUGAAUGGAAAUUUUUUUUUGGAUUGGAGUAAAACUAUUCGGAUAUAUCUGCGCAACAUUGAUAGAGAUGAUCAUUUCACUAAUGGUCCACCCGUUCAUGGGGAAGAAAAGAAGGUUUGGCUAAGGGAAGAUGCAAAAUUAUUUUUGCAGAUCCGAAACUCUAUUGAUAAUGAGAUAGUUAGUCUCAUCAAUCAUUGUGACUUUGUUAAAGAUCUUAUGGAUUAUUUGGCCUUUUUGUAUUCUGAUAAGGGUAAUUUAAAUCAUAUAUAUGAUGUUCGCAAGGAAUUUUACCGUUCGAAAAAACAGCAGAGAUCCCUUACAGAAUAUUUUAUGAAUUUUAAACAUGUGUAUGAAAAAUUGAAUUCUCUCCUUCCUUUUAAUACUGAUGUAAAAACUCAACAGUGUCAACGGGAACAAAUGGCUGUAAUGAGUUUUCUUGCAGGAUUACAAGUUGAGUUUGAUGCUGCUCGAACACAAAUUCUCUCUAGCCCAGAGAUUGUUUCCCUCCGUGACACUUUCACACGAGUGUUGAGAACCGAGGGAUUUUUGUCUACUUUCAAUGUUACUAGUGCUCUCGUGAAUUGAAGUGGAGAUGGUUGAGGAAAUAAUGGUAGAAACGGUGGCAAAAAUGAGACUGGUGGGGUUGUUGGUCAUGGACAAUACAACUCAAAUCAAUGAGUCUGUUAUCACUGUAAGAAACCAGGUCAUACCAUACGUACGUGUUGGGACCUUCAUGGUAGACCUCAACAGCAGCCCCCGUUUGCAAAUUUCGCAACCCAGGAAAACAAUUAUGUGCCUUCUGACAAAUCCAUACUCAUCUCUGCUGAUGAGUUUGCCCGCUUUACUGAGUUCCAGGCCUCAUAAAAAUCUGCUAACCCAUCUUCUAGUACCAAUCCUCCUUCUAUUGAUCACUCAGGUAAACUUACUACAUGCCUUGUGUCAUCUUCUAAUAAAUGGGUUAUCGAUUCCAGUACAACAGAUCAUAUGACCGGUAAUAAAGGUAUCCUCUCCUCUUUUAAUCCUAAUAAAGAUCAUCCGAAUGUUACUUUGGCUGAUGGGUCAUAAGCUUCAGUUGUGGGUUCUGGUGUAGCAAUUCCAAUGUCAUCUAUCCCCUUAUAUUCAGUCUUAUGCUUACCUAAUUUUUCUUUUAAUCUACUCUCAGUCAGUAAAAUUACAAAAGCUCUCAAGUGCUCUGUCUCAUUCUUUCCUGAAUAUUGUGUUUUUCAGGAUCUUAUGACGGAAAAAAUUAUUGGUAAAGGACGUGAGUCUGACGGCCUGUAUACACUUGAAACCCCUUCAUCGAAAGUGCCGAAACUUGUUGCAUGUUCCUCUACCUUGACUCCUCUUGAAAUUCACUGUCGUUUGGGCCAUCCAUCUCUACCCACCUUGAAGAAGUUGUGUCCAAGUUUUCAGAAUUUAUCCCAUUUAGAUUGUGAGUCAUGCCAAUUUGUCAAACAUUAUCGUUUGUCCUACUUGCCUAGAGUCAAUGAACGGGCUACAUCCCCUUUUGAAUUAGUGCACUCUAAUAUUUGGGGCUCUUGUUCAAUAGUAUCUAAAUCUGGUUUUAAGUAUUUUGUCACUUUUGUUGAUGACUACUCUCGUGUUACUUGGUUAUAUUUAAUGAGAAAUCGUUCAGAUUUAUUUAGUAUCUUUUGUUCCUUUUGUACUGAAAUAAAAACACAAUUCAAUGUGCCAGUCCGCAUUUUGCGAAGUGAUAAUAUAAAAAAGUACUUUUCUAAACCUUUUAAUUCAUAUAUGUCAGAAAAUGGAAUCCUUCAUCAAUCUUCAUGUUUCGACACACCACCACAAAAUGGUGUUGUUGAAAGGAAAAAUAGGCACUUAUUAGAAGUUGUUAGAGCCCUUCUAUUUCAUAUGAAGGUUCCUAAGCAAUUUUGGGCAGAUGCUGUUUCAACAGCUUGUUUUUUAAUUAAUCGCAUGUCAUCUUCCGUGCUUGCUGGUGAGAUUCCUUAUUCAAUUUUGUUUUCAACCCAAUCUUUAUUCCCCGUUGAGUCACGUAUAUUUGGGUGUACUUGUUUUGUUCGUGAUACACGUCCUCAAGUGUCUAAAUUAGAUCUCAAAUCUCUCAAGUGUGUGUUUUUUGGUUAUUCACGUCUUCAAAAAGGGUAUAAAUGUUAUUCUCUAAGUUUAAAUCGUUAUUUAGUCUCUGCUGAUGUUACAUUUUUUGAGACACAUCCAUUUUUUCUUGAAUCUAAUGUCUAUAGUAGUCAGGGGGAGGAAGAUGAUAUUCUAGUCUACACUGUUACAAUAACUGUUCCUACCAGACCACCAAUCACUCAAGUGUAUUCUCGUCGUUCUCAACACAUAGACUCACAUCCUCCACUAUCUUCUCUGUCUACAGAUCCGAGUCCUAAUCCACUGCUUCCUCAGUCUCUAGAUUCCAGUCUUGAUUUGCCUAUCGCUUUAAGAAAAGGUAAAAGACAAUGCACUUACCCAGUUUCAUCAUUUGCUUCAUAUGACCAUUUGUCUCCCUCCUUGCGUUGUUUCACUGCUUCUUUAGAUUUGAUAUCUCUUCCUCAACGCUUAUCUGAGGCUUUGGAACAUCCUGGUUGGCAGGCUGCUAUGGAGGAAUAAAUGAUGGCCCUAAAUAAUAAUGAUACCUGGGACUUGGUUCAUCUACCAACAGGUAAGAAACCUAUUGGUUGUAAAUGAGUGUUUGCUGUUAAAGUCAAUCCUGAUGGUUCUGUUGCUCGCCUCAAAGCUCGUCUUGUUGCAAAAGGGUAUGCUCAGACAUAUGGAGUGAAUUACUCAGACACGUUUUCUCCAGUAGCAAAACUUACCUCUGUUCGAUUAUUUAUUUCCUUUGCUGCUACUAAUAAUUGGCCUUUGUACCAGUUAGAUGUUAAGAAUGCAUUCCUUCAUGGAGAUUUGCAAGAGGAAGUUUAUAUGGAGCAACCACCUGGAUUUGUUGCUCAGGGGGAGUUUGGUAAGGUUUGUAGAUUCCGAAAGUCAUUAUAUGGUUUAAAACAGAGUCCUCGUGUUUGGUUUGGGAGAUUCAGUGAGGUGGUUCAAGAGUUUGGCAUGAAGAAGUGUAAUUCUGAUCAUUCUGUCUUUUAUCAACAAUCUGAAGUUGGUAUUAUCCUAUUAGUGGUUUAUGUUGAUGAUAUUGUUAUUACUGGUAGUAACAAUGCAGGUAUUGCAGCCCUUAAAAGUUUUCUUCAAUCGCGCUUCCAGACAAAAGAUUUGGGUAUGUUGAAAUACUUUUUAGGCAUUGAGGUUACAAGGUGUAAACAAGAUAUCUUCUUAUGCCAAAGGAAGUAUGUCCUUGAUCUUUUGAAAGCAACAGGAAAGCUAGGUGCUAAGCCAUGUAGUGUACCAAUGAUUCCCAACAUGCAACUUACAGCAGAUGGUGGGGAGUUAUUCUCAGAUCCUGAAAUAUACCGGAGGUUAGUCGGAAAAUUGAAUUAUCUUACUGUGACUCGUCCGGACAUUGCAUAUCCGGUUAGUAUUGUGAGUCAAUUUAUGUUCUCACCAAGAACCACCCAUUGGGCAGUUUUAGAGCAAAUCUUAUGUUAUCUUAAAGGAGUUCCGGGACGUGGUAUACUAUAUGGCAAUCAUGGUCAUUCUCAUGUUGAAUACUUCUUAGAUGCAGAUUGGGCAGGUUCUAAAAUUGAUCAAAGAUCUACAACUGGAUAUUGUGUCUUCGUUGGAGAUAAUUUGGUAUCGUGGAAAAGUAAGAAACAAAAUGUAGUAUCUCGCUCUAGUGCAGAGUCUGAAUACCGGUUUAUGGCACAAUCCACUUGUGAGCUUAUAUGGAUACGCCAAUUAUUGUGUGAGGUGGGAAUCAAUAAUUCACUUCCAAUGAAAUUAUGGUGUGACAAUCAAGUUGCCCUUCAUAUAGCAUCAAAUCCAGUUUUUCAUGAGAGAACAAAGCAUAUCGAAAUUGAUUGCCACUUUGUUCGUGAAAAAAUUCAGCAAAACUUGAUCUCAACCAGUCAUGUGAGAACUGGAGAAUAGGGAUGGCAACAGGCGGGGUUGGGGCGGGGGACCCCUCCCCCAUCCCCCGCCCAGUUACCUACAAACUCCCCCCGCCCCCGCCCCAUCCCCCGUCCCCCGCUCCCCCCGCCCCGCCCCACUUUCCCCGCGGCCCGCGGGGCUAAUAAAAAAUUAUUAUAUAAUUUUAUUAUGAUUAAAUUUUAGCAAAUAAUCAAGUACUAAAAUAUCAACAUAUCAUUAAAUUAUUAUUCAUUGUAAUUUUACAAUUGAAACUUAUAAAAACAAUCAAAUAAAAAUUAUUUGAAUACAAUCCAACAUGAUGAAAUAAAUAUAGCUAAAGUAGUCAAGUUUUCACUUUUGGCACAAAUAUAAUCACUAAUUCAUUAUUGUGCUUGUGCUUUUUUUAAGAAAAAAAUAUUAUUGUAUUAAGUGUAAUUAGGGAUUUAGUAUAAAUGUAUUAGUAAAUUUAGUAUAACCAAUUAAUAAUUUGUAUUAGUACACAUAUAUAAUUAUUAGUAUAAUUAAUAAUAUCAAUUAUAUUAUAUAUACUAAUAGACAUUAUAUAAUACAUAUAACUAAUAAUAUCAUUAUUAUAAGUUUAUAACUAAUUAAAUUAUAUAUUAUAUAUAUAAUUAUAUACAUAUAUAUUUUAUAUAUUUAUUUUUUAAAGCGGGUGGCAGGGCGGGGGAUGGGGAGGGGGUACACUCCCCUGCCCCCCGCCCCGUUUCUAAACGGGGAGAAAAAAUUCCCCCCGCCCCAUUAGCCCCAAGUGGGGCGGGUGACCCUAUUGGAGAGCAGUUAGUUGAUAUUUUCACUAAAUUUCUAAAUGAUCCAAGAAUUGAUUAUAUUUGUGGCAAGAUGAGCAUGAUUAACAUCUAUACUCCAUCUUGAGGGGGAGUGUUGAAGAUAUGUGAUUAUAGAAAGAUUUGCUAUUGUAAAUAUUAGGAAAGAUUAGAUUUGAUUUGUUUUGAUUAUAGUAUCAGAAAUUAAUUAGGUAAUGGAUUGAUUUAGGCUAGCAUGAUUUUAGGAUCUAAAUUAGGUUACACUUGUAUAUAUAUAUAUAUAUAUAUAUAUAUAUAUAUAUAUAUUUGUACAUUGUGUAGUUCAAAGAUAUGAAAAAGAGUAUUUUCUCUCCCUUUUUCUUAGUUUUCAGAGACAAUGAAUUUCCAUAUAUUAAGAUCUAUUACCUUGGCAUCAAAUGUACAAGUUUACCAGCUCUUUAGUUGGGUUAUUGGAUUCCUUUUAAGCAAAAAUUCGAAAACCUUUACUCAGAAGGGAAAGCAAAGUGCAAUGCAUUUUGCCACUAUGAAAUCUCUAGGGAGAUCAGUCACCAGCCUAACCCUGCUAAGAGAUAGGCUAUCGAGUGGGAUCAAAUGCAUGACAAGAAUUGAUUCAGAAAACGUCAUUUAGAAUGUUUACUAUGAUAAACACUAUGUUUCUUGCUAAUUGCAUUUUUGUUAACAGGGUAAAUUUGUAUCAAUAGCCAGACAUUGCUUACAAACAAAGAAACAGGCGUGUGGAAUAAAUUUAUCAGAUAUAGAAUCCAAAGCCUGAUUAUUUUUCUCAGUCAAUUACCAAUUGAAGAACCAUGGAGAUGCUCAUGUCAAGGUGUUCCCAGGUGGAAAGAUUGUCUCCUGUCCAUGUAGCAGCAUAUCUUUGACUACCUACAAAUCCAGCUCUGGUAAGAACAAAUGGACGUCUAUUUUGAUCAGCUAAUUUCAUGCCUUCAUAUGUGGACCUUGCCAUCAGCAUGCCAUAAACCUAAAAUGCAUGACAAGUCUAAUCAAACACAUCAGAAUAACCAGUAGCCGACAACAAAAAGCAAACAGAUUCAAAAGAUUAUCCAACUGUUAAAAUAUGUCAGCUGUGGCACGUUAAAUAAGACUCUGAAGCAUAGUUCUCUCAUGUAACAUGGAGCAAAAUAAGGAGAACAAGGAAUCAUACAUUGUGAUAAUGUGAGUGAAUCUGGCAACCUCCGAGUUCAUCGUCUCCCCUGUGAAUGUUGUUCUCAGGCAUUGUCUUUGUUACAGUCUGCAAUGAGAAAUUAUUAGGCAAGCAAAAGAUGAGAGGACAUGCUGAGAGAUCACAAACUUCACCUUGAAAAUAGCUGGUUCAUUCAUAUCAUUCCAAAUACCAUCUACACCAUUGGCGGUGAAAUCUCUAACAAGAUUAGCCCACCAUGAGCGGGCUUUUGACUGAGUGAAAUCUGGAAAUACACAAGGGCCAGGCCAUACAUCACCUAAAACCAGACAUAGCACAUGAAAAGAUAAAUGGUUGGGAGACCAAAUAAAGGUACAAAAGCUUCAAGAAGAACCAAGGUGAAAUUCAUAUAUUUACCUACAAAAGGCUUCCCAUCUGCAGUCUGAACCCAAAUAUCUUUUUCUGAACCGCUAUCAUAGACAAAAUAACCUUUUUCAAAUUUAAUCCCUGGAUCCAGCAUCCAGAUCGCUUUGAAACCAUCCCGGUGAAGAUCGUCAACCAGACAUUUGGGAUCAGGAAAUUGCUCCUGAACCAAAAUCAAAAUAGUCCACAUAGUUCAAUCUUAAGAAGCAUAACGAGGUAGACCCCAAUAAAAUUUGAUAACAAAUAAUGAGCCUAUGCAUGUCAGGAUGAUGAAGCAUAACUACACCUAUUUGCACUACUCAUUUCUAUUUUUUCAUUCUCUUCUGUAAGAUCACAGAACAUUUAAGUCCAUUUGCCCAUAAGCAUCUGUGUUUUGGCUAUCUUUAGACUGCAGAAAGUGAAACAACAAAUAUUGCCAAAUCUGUGAUUAUUAAAUCCCAAGAACACCCAAGAAAUUUAGCAAAGCUGAAGGUGAAAGAAGAAAGUGAUGCAGCAUAAGAUUUAUCACUAAUGAAUAUCUUAUAAUCCGCUGUCCAGAAGGUUAACAGCAGUAUUAGAAAGUUACAGUUGACCGUGAAGGAAUGUAAAUAAUAAACAGUGAAUCCAUCCUUUGUUACAAGCAAUGAAGGAGGACAUACCUUGUCAAAAGUGAAACAGCGAAAACCAUCCAUGUAGUCUAUAUCCAUCCAAAUUACGUCACAAGGAAUAUUUUUCUCCCGGAAUGUCCUUGCGAUCUGCAGUGUAUUGUAAAGGAAAAAAAACAAGGAGCACAAAGUUCAGGAGGACAGGACCGUAGAGUUCAGAAGCUGUCUGCAACUAUUUAACUCGCACAAUAAUAACAACUUCCAAUUUGAUUAAAGCAAAGAAAUCUGCAGAUGUGAACUUGCACUGCACUGAUUCAUAAGGAAACCACUGAUUAAAUACCUAAAACAAACAUAAAUAGAUGUAUAGGAAAGUGCUAAAUAAGAACAUUGUACAACAACAAACAGGUAAACCAUGUAGUUUAGGAAAGAGUAAAAUAAACUAACCUCACGAACUCUUGCAUCUGAGGCAUAGCUCCAACGGCAUUGGUGAUAACCCAAUGACCAUUUUGGGGGCAUAAAUACAGUGCCUAUGAGCAAAAUGCAUACUUGAAUUACUAAUACUUCAGGAAUAAGAAGGAGAAUAUGAUAAGAUAAAUAAAGUGGAAUCAUGAAAAAGUCUAGGCAUGUUAAGGCAAAUCCAAAGGUGGCAUUUACAGGAGAUUUAGAAAUAGUAACACAUUAUAAAUCCAAGGAACUCCUAUAUGAUGGAAAGCAUCACAAACCAUUCACUAAAAGAUUUUAGAGCUAAAUAUUACUACAGAACUUUCUAUGAUAAUCACUCCUUCAACAGCUGAACAUCAAUCAGGUGGGACAACAUAGUUUAUUCUUACAAUAGGCCCUCAAAUUGCACCUAACACACUAUCAAUUUAUAGCUUCAGUUGCAUUGUCGCUAAACCACAGUGAUGCAGUCCAGGUUCCGGAGAUCAAGAUUUUGCAACACAAAAAAAUUAAGAUAAGGAACACAGAUCACCGGUAUCAGAAGGAAAGAUUUAGAUUAUGUUCAUGGAAUAAUUUCUACUAGUCUAAAAACAAAAGAGAGCAAGAGAAGGAAGACCAAGAUACGGUUGAAAGUGUACUAAAAAAUCAGGCAAUUUCUCUACUAAAAAGGAGGAACUUUUUCAAAUUCUAGUCAACUGAGAGUGUCAAGUUCAUCCCCAUAUUUUAAUAUUUGUUUGUUUUCUAACAAGAUAAAUGUGAUCUAUUGGUAAUCAUAUUGGUGAUAUUUAUUAAUGCUUAAAAACUUCGAGCUGGCAGCAGCACAUUAAGGUAUGCCAUUUUAAGCAUCAGAUUUGUUCCUGAACUGGCAAUGCAAUCCUAAAUACUAAUUUACAGUAAAGAAGCACUACACUAGAGAUAUAAGGUGGUCAUAAAUUGGAUAAAAUUUGGAGUAUUGCUUUUCGUGUUAUUGCAUGGUCAUCCAUUAAUCCCUCUCCUGACGUCAUCCAUUAUGACACGGGGAAAACAAGGUGAUUGAUUCAGCAUUAAUUGUCACCUAAAUUUUGAGUUAUGCAAGAAAGACAAUAAGUGAGAAAAAUACCAAUUGCGCGGGAGAAGGAUAUCAGAACAUCAGUUGGUGAAGCAAAUGGUCCAAAUGUGAUAAUGGGAUAAGAGGGUUGAGCGAUAAACUUCACAUUAAAUUCUUUGCGCAAAUCAAUCUGUUACAUCAGCAGGUCUAGGUCAUCAAAUUGAGAUCCAUUAAUAGAUAUAGAAAGUACAUCAGAAUUGGAAACUACCUCACAACGCCUUGUGGUAUCCGCAAGCACCCCAAUUGCCCCUCCAUCGGGAAGGACAGCAAGCACCCAAGGAUGUGAUUGGUAUAAGGUGCUGGUUCCAGGUCCAUAACCCCAUGCUGGUGUGUUCCACAAAAAUACCUAGAAGUCAUGGAUAAAUUUUCGUCUAAAGUACAUUUAAAAAUAUAGCCUCAAGAAAACCAAAUAAAUUGACAUACCCGCUUUCCUGUUCGUUCAAGCUGACCACUAACCUCUCCUGUUCCGUAGAAAGAUGUACCAUAUGGAAACUAAAUCAUGAAAAGAUUCACUUAGGUCAUUCUUGAUUUUUUUUUUGGAUAAUGACAUAAUUAUCACAUGAAAGAGCACGGAUGAAAAGGCAAACUUACAGAAGAUUUUGCAAUACGUAAUUUACCUCAAUCUUAACAAUCUGUUGCCCAAGAACACAUUCAAAAGUAGGAAUAUAUGAUGGAACUCUAUGAUCACUAGAUAUUGGUGUCUCUCUACCCACAGGGUUGACAAAAGAAACACUUGGAAAUGCAGCAUUUCUGUCAUCUGUGGAACAAUCGAAACGGAAAACUCCAUCCUCCAGGAUAGGCUCAAAUAUCAUAUUCCCCGAUCUUAUAUCACCAGUCACUGCUGUCCCUUCACGUCCAGCCAUCUGAGAGUAAACUAAGAUUGCAUCAAUAAAUCUCUUAUUUUCAUCCUUUCUUCUACAUUCCACGGGAUGAUAUCAGAACAUAUUUCCAGGAAAACAUUGACAAAUGACUAAAAUAUCAGUAAAACAAGAGAUUUUAACAUUAGAUCAAACCUUCUCAUCAUGGGAAACUGAUUACCCAUCAUUAAAACAGAAAAUGACUACUUAUAUAUCGAUUACAUGAAUACCACAGGACAAAGGAUUGCAUUUUAUCAAUUGCAUGCAGAAGAAAUUUGCAGUAGAAUCUGAGACUUCAUUAAAGGAGAGCUGCUCAUCUUUACUUAAGCCUUAGCGCUUACUCCAUGCCGAUGUCUUGCAAUUUGUGAAAUAUUACAACUCCUUACUCCCUUUUUAUAGGCCAAAGAAUUCAAACUCAACAAAGAUACUACCUCUACAAUGCAUGAACAAAAUCCCUUACUGUGCUUGACCAAAUUAGAGAAGUUAAAAUCAAUUCAGAGUACUUUACAUGAUUACCCAAAAAUACAUGACCAGGAUCAGUUUACUUGUACCUGAUCAAUCCAACAUAAAAUAAACAGGUGAACUUAAAAGUAUCUAAAUGUUGAAACACUUGCACAAGAGUAAUGAUCCAAAAUUAAUUCAUCCACACAUUCAAGUACUAAGAGUUCAGUCCAUCAACCAAAUUCGUCUGAGUCUACAAAUUUCCUAAAAAUUUAAGGGUAUAAAAAUGAAAAAGGCAACUAUCCACCUAACAAACUUAUAUGCAUGUAAUUAAACUGAAAUCAACUAGAUUCAUGUUAUGGAACUGAUGAACUGGCAUCAAAUUUUAUGGGAACAACUAACCUGUUUGAGUUUGAGAAGAUGCCUAGGUGGAAGCAAUGCAAGAAGUUGGGUUUCCUCACUGACCCAUUUAAGAUUCUUGAAUUGAGACGCCAACUACAUGCAGUAGAAAGCCCACACGUGUACUGAUUUUUUUGGGGACAAAAGCAAUGGCCGACUUGCUUUAGUACUAAGAAGAAGUGCUUUUUCCGUCUGGGAUUCAUGAACCAAUAAAUAAUUACACUCUGUAUAAUAAUUAAUUCACAAAGAUUAAUAGCUAAGGCAAACUUCUUGAAUUGACAAUGUGUUAAUUAGUAGUACCAUAAUAAUGUUUUGUGGGGCUUAAAGAUUCUUGCUUGUUGUUACAGCGAGCGGACCUACGCCGAUAGGAUAACAUAUAUUUAUCCACCAUUAUGAUUGUUAAGUACAAAUUUGUCCGGACAAGUGGAGAGGUGUUUGAAAACUCUGCAGACAUCAAGACAAGGGAUCGUCCCUACUCUUUCUGUCUGGUUUUAAAAAGUGCUGACUUCUUGCCGGACUGAUAAUGGCUUGUAAGACACGUGGAGGCGUAGAGAAAUAUAUGGGUGAGGGAAGUUUAGAAAGUGCCACAGAAGUGGUAAAGUCUGGAUAGUGUCUACAAGAUAAGUUCUAAUUUAUGGUUAACUACUUGUAAAAUCUCAUAAACAAGAUGUACUUAUUAUGUGGAGAUGGAUAUAAAUAGUGACGAAAUAUCACAAUUUUAUUGAAACAAUGUUGCAUAUAAGAUUAGAAUUUUCAACCAUGAAUUAUAAAUUAUAAAUACGAAAUUGAAACAGACCAUAUGCUCUCUCCUACUCUCACUUAUGUUUGCUCUAAUGAUGGAAUAAUGCACAAACUUGGUUGAUUCAAAAGCCUAUAUGUAGAGGUACAAAUGACCAUUCUCGUCAUUGAUUAUUGAUAAAGGUCAUUGAAUCUUGCUCCUUGAUAAGAUAACUCUUAUCAUGAAUCACUUGUUUCAAAAAAUGUACUUACAUAGUAAAAAAUGUAUAUACUUUAUUUAUAUAUAUGAAGUUUUCCAUAUAUGUAAAAGAUAAGUUCAUUAAUCACUUAAUUUAGAUUCAUGACGUCAGUUAUAUGUAAUUCAUUAAUUAGGUUCGUGAUUAUCUGUAUAUGUACUUUAUUACAUUUAUAUGGUCAACAAGUAAUUAAUCUAACAUGUUACACUAUUCAGAACUAUAACCAUUCCUGCCCUUUCCCUUACUAAAAAGGGCAGUAACCUUAACCCUGUUAAACGAAACUGUAAUUUAUUGUAAACUCUUGCUUGUCAUGUGGUGUUUACAGGUUUUUUGUUUAAAUUUGGAUUGUGAGAUAUUUGAUAAAACUUAAGAAUCAUUAAAAGUAUAAAUCAAUUGUUCAUGGAUUUUGUAUCUCUACAACCAUUUGAUUAGUUAGGAGUUAGGUAUUCAUCUAUUCAAACUAUAGUUCACAGGAACAUUAUUGUUUGUUCACUGAUGUAACAUUUAAAGAAAGAAACAAAAGAAGAAAUGAUUGAAAUAGUCCUUCAACUUUUUUAAUAGAAUCAUUUUUGGUCCUCAUACUUUAAGUAAAUUAGUAACUUUAAGCUUCUGAAAUGCUAUAUCUGCUGCAAAAUCCCAAAUGAAUAGCUUUUCUUUCAAAUAAAUCAAUGUGUUUUUGCCAUACACCAUGCCCCUCUACAAACCUCCUAUAAUAACUAGUCCACCUAAGAAAACCUCUUAGAGCUUUUAUACUAGUAGGAGGAGGCAAAGUCGGCAUUGCCUUAAUCUUAUCUGGAUCAGCACGCACACCUGCACUAGUAACUAUAUGCCCGGAAUACUGUACCUUGUCUUGGCCAAAUGAAGAUUCAUACAUCUUUGCUUAGAGAGAGUGUGUUCUAAAAGUUUCAAGGACAAUAGAUAAAUGAUGCGAAUGAGUUUGAUAAUCCGGUUGUCGAUCAAGAUAUCAUCAAAAAAUACAAAACAAAUUUUUUGAUGUAUGGCUGAAAUACAGAAUUCAUCAAAAGUUUGAAAGGGGGCAAGUGCAUUUUUCAAGCCAAAGGACAUAACAAGAAAUUCAUAUAAACCAGAAUGAGUUCUCGAUGCAUUUUUUUGAAUGCCAGCAGGAUCCGUUUUUAUUUGGUGGUAUCUUGACCUUAAGUCUAUUCCUUAAAAGACAUUUGCACCAUUUUGUUCAUCUAGAAUAUCACAUGGGAAAUUUGUCUUUGAUGGUUGAACUGCUUAAUUGUCAUUGGUCAAUGCAAAGCCUCCAGCUCCCAUCUUUCUUUUUGACUAGAAGAGCUGGUGAUGCAAAAGACUGUGGCAUUUCUGUAUAAUUCUAGAAGAUAAUGUUUUUCACGUGUCUGUGAAUUUUAGUCUUCUCUAAAUGAAGAUAUGUGUAUGGAGCAAAUUUGAAUGGUUUGGCAUCUAGUUUAAGGGGAAUUUGGUGGUCUUGAAUUCUUGAUGGGGGUAAGGACGUAAGGUUUUAGGUUCAACACAUUUUUUUUAUUUAGUAUAAUUGCAUUAUUUGCCAAAAAAUUUUAUUCUACAAUUAACUACUAUUUUAUUUCUUAUGCACAACUCUAACUUAAAUUAGACACUCAUAAUACUUACUUAAACUUAGAUAAUUAAAGUUACAUAAUUAACUUGAUCGAGAAUUAAUAACUAAAACAAAUAACAAAAUUAGUUUCAUAAUUUAAAUCUCAUAUUUCUGAUGAUUUUAGAUAGUUUAAAUUUGCUAAAUAAUUAGUUGCAAAAGGUCUUCCAAAAAGUUAAAAAAAAAGAGGUAAAAAAAUUAAACAUAUUAAGUUGUUGUGUCUCACAGCAGAUUAAAAAGAAAAAUUUAAUACAACACGCCGGGCUCUUUUUAUGAAUUGGUCAAUUUAUAACUAUUGGAACGGGUACCCCUUUUUUUAAAAAAAAAAAGAAGUUAAAACUAAUAAUUUGACCCACUCGAGGAACAUAUAUUGAGAAAUGCCCCAUAUUGUAGCCACAUUUUUUCAAUUUUUCAUUUUUGGGCAAUACUCUAAAAAAUUUCCCCUCCUAAAUGAUUUGUAAAAUUUUUAAAUGAUUUGCAAAAUUUGUCCUACCAAUGGAAAGUAAAAGUUUAACCAUUUUACAUAUAUAUUCCGUUUUAGUAUGAAAAAAGAUCAAGGUUAAUAGAAAAUUAAAAUGAUUAAUCAAUUGCUACAAUUUAAUUGAAGUGAUCCGAAUUUUGGGCAUAAUUUAUUGUGACGUUAAGAUAUUUGUUCCAACAUAAGAUUUAAUGAUUACCCAAACCAGUCCAUUCUAUUAUUAUUAUUAAUUUACAAAUAUGACAACAAUACGAAGAUUGACCCAAGACUUGGAUUUCUUGGGUUCAAAUUUCUCUUUCCUUUCCCAUUUCUUAAAUUUCACCCUUCCUGGACUAGGAAAUAAAUUAAAAAAAAAAAGGAAGAUUGACCUUUUCAUUUUAUGUUUAAGUGCACAUAAAUAUUGAGUAAACAAAUUAGGUAGGUACUCGUUUUUUCUUUUUUCUUUUUUGAACCGUUUAAUCUUGCAUUUCUUCUUCAAUUUUGGGUAGUCAUCAAUUAUUUGGUUCUCUGCUUAAUGCUCGUGCACUUCAUCUUUAAUUUCGUGCGAGCAUCAAUUAUUUGAUACGUGAGAUUCCCAUGUUUUCAUAUUGUUAUAGAUGUUGAGUAAGCCUAUAUGCAAGUCUGAUUUCAUUGGCAAUUUACAACCACAUAAUCAAAUUUAGUUAAAGUCCCAAUCUAUUGCAGAUCAAGUCGUUUUCAUGUAACAUAUGGAUAUAACUAGAGACAAUUUUCAGUGUUAUCAAACAUAAGACUUUCAUGCUUAGAGACUGGUUUGAAGACACCUUGCUUACGGUACCCCCUCUCCCUCUUCUCAUGGUAAGGGUGUAUAUCCAAUGGGUACCUUAGGCAGUCAAUUAAUUUUCAAUAUCGAAACUCGAACUUGGGCUCGUGUAAGGUAUAGGGAGCUCAAAUUCAAACUCGAAUGCGCUCAAGAAGCAAAUUGAGAUUGAGUUUAUACUCAAGUUCGAAUAGUAAGACAUAUAAAUUUUUUUAAAAAUAUAGAAUUUUAGGUAAUUUAACAAUUAUGAAAAAAAUAAUAGAAUAUGAAACUCGAAAAGCUCGACGAACUUUCGUGCAGAAUACCUUAAGACUCGAGUUCAAUUCGAUGACCACAUUCAAGCAGCUCAAGCAUGAAUCCAAUUGUUGCUCCCAAAUUACUUUGCUCGUUUGCCACCCCUUUCAAUUGAUAAACAAUUAUACGCAAAAGCUAUCCUUUAGGAAAAAAAUAUCUAUCAUUGACUCCAUUCCUUGCAGACUCAAAUGCAAUGAUUUAACUAAUCAGAUCUAACCAAAAUUGUUUUUAACUUAAUUUCACGCUCCACGUUAGUUGUAAUAUCAUGUACUUACUUGAAAGCGGUUGAAUAAAGUCCAGCAACAAAGCUAUCAAAACUUUGUGUAGGAUGAGAAAGCACAAAAAUAACACAUGUCCGGCUUGUACUAAGGAAGAAAAAAAAAAAAGAUAAGAACACGGUCUCAAGCAGUCAAAGUAUGGAAUAAGAUGUAAGCACUUACGUCAUUUCCGAAAUUCAAAAUAUUUUGUUCAGGUCCGCGGGAUUGAAGCUAGAACAAGUCCGUGGAAAACAUCAAGUAAAGUCCAACAUUGAAGUCCGCCAACCUAUAUAAAUAGGUAGAUGGCAUGUAAAGAAGGGAAUUCAACUUUCAACUUUCAAUUCAACUUUGGCAACUCAACUUAGUGAAGAAACCAAAUUAUGUUGUAAAAUUUUCUCUCAUGUCUAGUGAAUAAAGAGAGAGAGAGUAGUCUGUCAAACCUAUCUUAUAUUACAAUCUCUUCAUUAAUAAAAGAAGAAGUUUUCUUCAUAACUUUUUAUGCUUUGCCUCUGAGUACGCUUAGAGAUAGGAUACAAAACUAAAGGAAGUCACCUGGUCGUUGGAGGUUGCAACGCCCAAGUAAGAAGUUCUCGGGGAGGUAAUCAGAAUUUUGUCGACCAAAAAUCAGAUUUAAGAUAUGAAAGCGUGUUGGAUCCUUUUCUUUUGUUAAUAAGAAAUUGUUAGUUUAAAUAUGGUAUACACUCUAUUCUCUUGUAAAUUUUAUGAAAGAUACGUCAAACCUGUUUAGUACCUUAUCAAUAAAUAUAAUACAUCCUGAAUGCACUCUAUAAAUAAAAAUAUCUUUUACAUAAAAAAUCAUAAAUAUAAAUAUCAUGUUAGCCAACCCAAACUUAAAUUUUGACUUAAAUUUGGGCACCAAAUACAUAAAGGCUUGAGCUUGAUUCUAUGACCAUAUUUGAGAAGCUCGAGCUCGACUCUAAUUGUGAUUGAAUUGCUCGCGAAUUACUUGCUUGUUUGCCACCCCUAGUCAUUUAAUUGAGUAAACAAUUAUACGCAAAAGCUAUCCCUUCAGGGAAAAAAAAUCUAUCAUUGACUCCUUUUCUUGCAGACUCAAACGCAAUCAUUUAACUAAUCAGAUCUAACCAAAGUUGUUUUUUAACUUAAUUUGCACGCUUCACGUUAAUUGUAAUAUCAUGUACUUGCAAGACCUCCAACGCGGGCAAUUUCUACCUUAGGUAGGGACUAGGGAUUGAAGAUUGUAUCUGCAUCUGUCCAAUGCAUUUCAAUUUGAUUAGAUUCCCACAAUUAUUUCCUCAACUGAAUGUUUGAUAAACUGGACUUAUUGUUGCAUCCAACAUGUUUUAAGGCUACUGAUCAUUCCAGCCAACAGCUGAUUGCUGAGGGGAGAAAAUUCCCAAUUCUCAACCCACAAAAAGUGACUUCUAUAUUACAAGGAGGACCAAGUAG
RNAcentral lists this long non-coding RNA (77442 nucleotides) under Coffea arabica (coffee). Its description in RNAcentral is "long non-coding RNA (CARA_LNC005570)". Lineage: Eukaryota; Viridiplantae; Streptophyta; Magnoliopsida; Gentianales; Rubiaceae. The record is from RNAcentral.